UAUCAUUUGCCUAGUGAUCGAAUGGGCUCAAAAUCAACAAAUUUCAAUGGCCGUAGUGAGCCGUUUGUAAGUUUAACGGUGUAGAAAUAUCCAAAUCACGUGAAAUUUUGAUAGAAAAUUUUUUAUACUAUAUAAAACAAGAUCAAUAUCUUUGAUUUAAAAUUUUAAUGUCGUAUUAUUACAUUUUGUAAGAUUUUUAUUUUCAGUCGUUGAUUUUGAGCCCCUUCGUUCACUAAGCAAAUGAUAUCGUAAAAUCAUAAAAUUUAUUUUCUAAGUACUUCAAAUACUCUAGAUCAAAUUUAACAGAGCAGAUCGACGAUUCGAAAGUCGCAACAUCGAAAACGAGCUGGAAGCACGGAAGGCUCCGUGCUUCCGAUAGCAUAGUAGCCUUACUCUAUACAUAAAUACUUUGAAUAUUGUAAAAAAAUACUAUAUGUAUAUUCUAUACAGAGGUGUAUAUAUCUUAUGCACCAACAAAUUCUGAUAUUUAAAAAUCUCAUUGGAUUUUUGCUAAAAAAUAAAAAUUAAUAAGAUGGAUAAAUGGAUUUCAACCAUUCCAAGCCUAGGGUGUCACGCCCCGGGGUCCCCUUUUUAGAUUGAAACACAGCGGAAAAGCGUUUAAAUUUUUUUUUUUUUUUUUUUUUUUUUUUNNNNNNNNNNNNNNNNNNNNNNNNNNNNNNNNNNNNNNNNNNNNNNNNNNNNNNNNNNNNNNNNNNNNNNNNNNNNNNNNNNNNNNNNNNNNNNNNNNNNNNNNNNNNNNNNNNNNNNNNNNNNNNNNNNNNNNNNNNNNNNNNNNNNNNNNNNNNNNNNNNNNNNNNNNNNNNNNNNNNNNNNNNNNNNNNNNNNNNNNNNNNNNNNNNNNNNNNNNNNNNNNNNNNNNNNNNNNNNNNNNNNNNNNNNNNNNNNNNNNNNNNNNNNNNNNNNNNNNNNNNNNNNNNNNNNNNNNNNNNNNNNNNNNNNNNNNNNNNNNNNNNNNNNNNNNNNNNNNNNNNNNNNNNNNNNNNNNNNNNNNNNNNNNNNNNNNNNNNNNNNNNNNNNNNNNNNNNNNNNNNNNNNNNNNNNNNNNNNNNNNNNNNNNNNNNNNNNNNNNNNNNNNNNNNNNNNNNNNNNNNNNNNNNNNNNNNNNNNNNNNNNNNNNNNNNNNNNNNNNNNNNNNNNNNNNNNNNNNNNNNNNNNNNNNNNNNNNNNNNNNNNNNNNNNNNNNNNNNNNNNNNNNNNNNNNNNNNNNNNNNNNNNNNNNNNNNNNNNNNNNNNNNNNNNNNNNNNNNNNNNNNNNNNNNNNNNNNNNNNNNNNNNNNNNNNNNNNNNNNNNNNNNNNNNNNNNNNNNNNNNNNNNNNNNNNNNNNNNNNNNNNNNNNNNNNNNNNNNNNNNNNNNNNNNNNNNNNNNNNNNNNNNNNNNNNNNNNNNNNNNNNNNNNNNNNNNNNNNNNNNNNNNNNNNNNNNNNNNNNNNNNNNNNNNNNNNNNNNNNNNNNNNNNNNNNNNNNNNNNNNNNNNNNNNNNNNNNNNNNNNNNNNNNNNNNNNNNNNNNNNNNNNNNNNNNNNNNNNNNNNNNNNNNNNNNNNNNNNNNNNNNNNNNNNNNNNNNNNNNNNNNNNNNNNNNNNNNNNNNNNNNNNNNNNNNNNNNNNNNNNNNNNNNNNNNNNNNNNNNNNNNNNNNNNNNNNNNNNNNNNNNNNNNNNNNNNNNNNNNNNNNNNNNNNNNNNNNNNNNNNNNNNNNNNNNNNNNNNNNNNNNNNNNNNNNNNNNNNNNNNNNNNNNNNNNNNNNNNNNNNNNNNNNNNNNNNNNNNNNNNNNNNNNNNNNNNNNNNNNNNNNNNNNNNNNNNNNNNNNNNNNNNNNNNNNNNNNNNNNNNNNNNNNNNNNNNNNNNNNNNNNNNNNNNNNNNNNNNNNNNNNNNNNNNNNNNNNNNNNNNNNNNNNNNNNNNNNNNNNNNNNNNNNNNNNNNNNNNNNNNNNNNNNNNNNNNNNNNNNNNNNNNNNNNNNNNNNNNNNNNNNNNNNNNNNNNNNNNNNNNNNNNNNNNNNNNNNNNNNNNNNNNNNNNNNNNNNNNNNNNNNNNNNNNNNNNNNNNNNNNNNNNNNNNNNNNNNNNNNNNNNNNNNNNNNNNNNNNNNNNNNNNNNNNNNNNNNNNNNNNNNNNNNNNNNNNNNNNNNNNNNNNNNNNNNNNNNNNNNNNNNNNNNNNNNNNNNNNNNNNNNNNNNNNNNNNNNNNNNNNNNNNNNNNNNNNNNNNNNNNNNNNNNNNNNNNNNNNNNNNNNNNNNNNNNNNNNNNNNNNNNNNNNNNNNNNNNNNNNNNNNNNNNNNNNNNNNNNNNNNNNNNNNNNNNNNNNNNNNNNNNNNNNNNNNNNNNNNNNNNNNNNNNNNNNNNNNNNNNNNNNNNNNNNNNNNNNNNNNNNNNNNNNNNNNNNNNNNNNNNNNNNNNNNNNNNNNNNNNNNNNNNNNNNNNNNNNNNNNNNNNNNNNNNNNNNNNNNNNNNNNNNNNNNNNNNNNNNNNNNNNNNNNNNNNNNNNNNNNNNNNNNNNNNNNNNNNNNNNNNNNNNNNNNNNNNNNNNNNNNNNNNNNNNNNNNNNNNNNNNNNNNNNNNNNNNNNNNNNNNNNNNNNNNNNNNNNNNNNNNNNNNNNNNNNNNNNNNNNNNNNNNNNNNNNNNNNNNNNNNNNNNNNNNNNNNNNNNNNNNNNNNNNNNNNNNNNNNNNNNNNNNNNNNNNNNNNNNNNNNNNNNNNNNNNNNNNNNNNNNNNNNNNNNNNNNNNNNNNNNNNNNNNNNNNNNNNNNNNNNNNNNNNNNNNNNNNNNNNNNNNNNNNNNNNNNNNNNNNNNNNNNNNNNNNNNNNNNNNNNNNNNNNNNNNNNNNNNNNNNNNNNNNNNNNNNNNNNNNNNNNNNNNNNNNNNNNNNNNNNNNNNNNNNNNNNNNNNNNNNNNNNNNNNNNNNNNNNNNNNNNNNNNNNNNNNNNNNNNNNNNNNNNNNNNNNNNNNNNNNNNNNNNNNNNNNNNNNNNNNNNNNNNNNNNNNNNNNNNNNNNNNNNNNNNNNNNNNNNNNNNNNNNNNNNNNNNNNNNNNNNNNNNNNNNNNNNNNNNNNNNNNNNNNNNNNNNNNNNNNNNNNNNNNNNNNNNNNNNNNNNNNNNNNNNNNNNNNNNNNNNNNNNNNNNNNNNNNNNNNNNNNNNNNNNNNNNNNNNNNNNNNNNNNNNNNNNNNNNNNNNNNNNNNNNNNNNNNNNNNNNNNNNNNNNNNNNNNNNNNNNNNNNNNNNNNNNNNNNNNNNNNNNNNNNNNNNNNNNNNNNNNNNNNNNNNNNNNNNNNNNNNNNNNNNNNNNNNNNNNNNNNNNNNNNNNNNNNNNNNNNNNNNNNNNNNNNNNNNNNNNNNNNNNNNNNNNNNNNNNNNNNNNNNNNNNNNNNNNNNNNNNNNNNNNNNNNNNNNNNNNNNNNNNNNNNNNNNNNNNNNNNNNNNNNNNNNNNNNNNNNNNNNNNNNNNNNNNNNNNNNNNNNNNNNNNNNNNNNNNNNNNNNNNNNNNNNNNNNNNNNNNNNNNNNNNNNNNNNNNNNNNNNNNNNNNNNNNNNNNNNNNNNNNNNNNNNNNNNNNNNNNNNNNNNNNNNNNNNNNNNNNNNNNNNNNNNNNNNNNNNNNNNNNNNNNNNNNNNNNNNNNNNNNNNNNNNNNNNNNNNNNNNNNNNNNNNNNNNNNNNNNNNNNNNNNNNNNNNNNNNNNNNNNNNNNNNNNNNNNNNNNNNNNNNNNNNNNNNNNNNNNNNNNNNNNUUUCAACCGAAGACCACGCAUAGCCUGAGGCAAGUAUAGUCAGGUUAUCGAGCAAAGCUGGCCAAGUCGAUAAAACCUUGGUUACCGUGACUGCCUUAACCUAAACCUACGUGUCUAAAGCUCUUUUUCCCCAAAUUACCAAAAUCGUAUAUCAACAGAUAUACGCCCAAAACCACCUUGGAACCUCCCUACCAAAACAGCGUUUAGCCUUUGGAAAAGCCCGCUUUGCUUUACGAUCUAAGCUACGGAGACAGCACGACUAGCGCGACCACGCUAGGCUAGCCUUUAGACUGCCUGCCUAGAAGCCCUUAGCGCUUUUCAGGCGCUUCCCCGACUAAACUCUUUAGCCUAGUAAGCGCUUUUCCGGGAUAUAAAAUACGUAGCUUAACGCUCAGAAGCUUGAGUCUCUCUGAUAGCGCGUAACACGCUGACGACCAACUCUCGACCCUAAUUUAUCUAAGGAAAGCUCCCCCAAAAGGCGCUCAAAAGGUGUGGAAAUAUAUCCACCUAGAUCCCAAAAGAACCUGGUUUGGGAUUGGGAUCUUGGACUCCGUGGCUUCUCCGGAAAACCGGAGUUACUAUUCACUUAAGUGAAAACUAAAAGUCGCGUAUCUUCUCCAUUUUAGCUCAUUUUCGCCCGAAACUUGACGAGUGCUUAUGUAAUUAAAUUACACACAUAAACAUCAUCAACAGAGAGUUUAGUAGCACCGUCAAAAAUCUCAAUCCUUACAUAGGGUGUAAGUCUUACACCUAAUUAUAUUAGACGUACAUUACCCGAUUACCAAACAUGAAAACCUAAAUCCGAAUCCAACGAAUUUUAAAAAUCCAUAUCCAACCCAAACCUAACCAAAAAUCUAAAACAAUAACCAAAACCAGAACUUGAAAUAAUUAUUUCUCUUUACUGCAUUUCAAAACAUAUUACACUAAAUCUAAGGGUUCGCCCUUUUUCACACUGGAAUCGGAAUCGGAAUGGACGAAUCCGUUUGUCCGUAUUUAGUAUGCGGGAUUCUCACUUCGAUUCUGAUUUCUGGGUGAAUGGGAAUCCCCCAAUUACCCAAUUUUUCAAUCCGGCCUUGGAGGUCGAAUUGGAAAUUAAAUUAGGGCGGAAUGGAUUUGUUCAAAUUAAAUUUUAUUUUUUAAAACUUAUUUUUUAAUUAAAACAUAAGUUUAAGUUAAAAAUUAUAUUUAUAAUUUUAAAUUUUAAUUUGAACUUAAAUUAAAAAUUAAAAUUCAAUUAAGAAUUUCGAUCCUGACUUAGCCUGUCAAUCACCGAUCCUGUCUCAGUCUAUCAUUCCGACCAUGGCUCAGUCAAAACUCAUCUCACACUUACGGCUAGUGAACUGGCUCUGAUACCAAAUGUAGCGAUCUGACCCGCUAGCAACAAUAACUUGUUGGGUCAAAAACUAUGAGCCCAAAAUGUUUAAGCUUAGUUAUUAUUACUAUAGUGGAGUCCUUUUAUAUACCCAAUAAUAAUUCCAUUCCCAUCCAAUGUGGGACUAUUGGGUAUCACAUCUCUUUUUGUUCCCGAACCAAACAUUGUCUUAUUAGGGAAUAAUAAUGGUAGAGUUCUCUUGGAUUCCAAGAUGUUUGAAUAGUGGAUAUCUAUAUCUAUAUCUAUAUCUAUAUUAAUACAUUAUAGGGCGAACCCAAAACCCCUUCUACGGUCGCUCCAUAAUUUCAGGGUAGGUCCGGCUGUCUACGCUCGCGUGUGGGUCCCUCACAGGCUCUCCCUCGUGCCAUGGGUCUCUCGCACGAAAAAUUCUAGAAUGCAACGGGUAUAUUAGUGACGUGGCGUAACAAACCAAUCAAAUUAAUCCUUUUAAGAAUAUAUGUCCCAUCAUGAUUGUAAAAAAGUAUUUUUAUUGUACUUUUGUUUGAAAAGAAUGAAUGUGAUUGACUUGUUAUUGAUGACAUGGUGCAAGUGUGACAGUGUAGAAUUCCUCCNAUAUAUAUAUAUAUAAUUUAUUCGGUUUUGAAUUCGGAUAAUAUUUUGAAUAUCCAUACCUAUUGACAUCCGUAUUUCUUAUUCCUCUUUUCAAUAUACAAAAAAUACGUAUUAAACACGGUGAACCAUUCACCGUGUUUGAACACGGUGAACCAUUCACCGUGUUUGAACACGGUGAAUGGUUCACAGUAUUCAAGUUAACACACGGUCCCGGUCCUGCCCGCGUGGCGCUGAUGUGGCGCCUAUGUGGCAGGCCCAGGGCCAUAUUUGCAAAGUAAAUUUUAACAGAGCUAUUUUUAAAAUAAAAAUUUUCAGGAGUCUAAAUGCAAAAAAAGCCGACUACUAAUUAACCACCCUAUAAGGUUAGGGCUUGGUCUCUUGCAAGUAAAAGUAAAAGUGACCAUCCAUCGGUUUGGUUUGAUUUUUUUUUAAAAAAAUUUCUAAUGCAAAAUAUUGAUUUGCUCAAUUUUGUUUAUAUAUAGUUCUAUAUGAGUUUGGCUACCGUACUAUCAAUAAUACCAAGUACUUGGUGCUAUUAAGUUUUCUACCGUCAAAUCUAUCUUUUUGAUCAUUUUUACUCGUUAAAUCAUACUAUUCAACUAACAACCCUCUCAAUCCUAGGGGACUACUAUCAUUCUAACCACAUAUCCUUUCAUCCAAGGAUCUAAAACUUAAUAGUACAAAUGACUUGGUGUAUUAAUAGUACAGUAGCCUAGUUCUAUAUAUAUAUAUAUAUAUAUAUAUAUGUAUAGAGUCCGGCUGGGAUACUAGCAAUAGCACAAAGCAUUUGGUGCUAUCAAAUUUUCCGUCGUUAAAUUUAACUCUUAGACUAUUUUCACCUGUUAAAUUAUAUUAUUAAACCAAUAACUCACUCCACCUAAGGAGCAGCCCAUAUCAUCCUAACCGUAUUUUUUUUUCAUCCGAGGGCCGAAAACUUAAUAGUACCAAUAGUUUGAUGCUAUUGAUAGCAUUCCAGCUCAACUCUCUAUAUAUAUAUAUAUUAGCAACAAUGCCUGCGGCCGUAACUGUUUUUAAUAAAAAAAAUUUCCCCCACUUUAUAUAUACAAAUAUUAACUAUUCAGAUGAUUAAAUUUAAAUUCAAAUGAUAACUUAUUCUUUAUUUUCCCUCUCCUGUUUUGGUUCUUCAUCCAAAGGGAGUGUGAAAGAUUUCAUCUUUUACCCUAAAGCUUCCAAAACAAAAAAAAAAAACCGAUUAUCACCUUUAACGGCUCCUACAAUACUAGAUAUCUAGCUUGAUAAUGUGGCGGCGAAAAAUACUAUUUUUAUACCAUAAAAGGCUCAAAAAGAUUUGAAAAUGCUUAUAAUCUUAUUUUUUAUACUGAAAAGAGGAGGAUUAUAACCACUUUCAAACUUUUUAAAAUGAUGCUUUUAAGGACCACACUACCAAAGUGGGCCUAAGAGCAUAGUUGCCAUAACAAACGCCCAGAAACAGCUUACUCAGAAGGAUAUGGCAAUGCAAAUAACAAAGAACGCACUACCAUAUGAUUCUGCAGGAUAGAAUCCGAGGCGGCCCCAGCGCGAAAUUCACUAUUAGCCCAAAGACAAUGAGACAUUUCAACAGAAGAUGUAACAACAACAAACAAGGAAAUGAGCCAUGUCCAUUUUCUUUCUCUUUCAACUUUUUUUUUUUUUCCCUUUAUCACUCCUUUUCCUGCUACAGGGAAGCGGAGGUCACAAACUUCCUGUAAGCCCUAAGCAGAUCCUGGGCCGAGAACGGGGAGGUCCACUCGUGAGACCCGGGCCCGCCGGCCGCAGCCGACGGAUCCGCCGCGAGGCUGCUGCCGCCGUAGACGCUGCUGCCGUUCGCAACCCUCCCACCACCCAUGAACAUGGUAGACCAUGUAUCCGAGAGAUCCUCGAAAUCCAUAGACGGCUUUAGUAGCGUGGUGUCUAGGCUCCAAUCUAUGGAAGUGUAAUCGCACCGCAUCAUCCCGCCGGUGCUCCAAUCGACAGGGGUCGGCGAAGGCAAGGACCCGCCAUGGCCNUAUAUAUAUAUAAUUGUUAUAAUGCGAUCUAAGUGUCUUUAAUUUGAAAUCAUAUGAUAUAUAUGGAAGGAUAAGCGAAUGAAUAAAAAACAAAAAAAAUUAAAUUUUUUUGUUUUUUAAAAAUAAUGCUAUAUAUGCAUUAUUAUAUGAAAUAUAUAAACAAAGAAAGGUAGAAAUUAAAUUUUGUUUAGUAAAAAUGUACAUAAUUUACUUAAACUAGGACCAUUUUGAGCUAGCUAUCCUACAUUGGAAAAUUUUAAUUUUAAGACAUUUUGAAUUCAUAAUUUGAAUGUGUUAUUUAUCUUUACAAGUUUAAUUAAUAUUUUUAUUGAUUGUCUCUAGAGCAAGUGGCAAAGGGCUUGGCGGUUGGUACCGGAGGUCCCAAGUUCGAAUCCUAAUUGAUUCACAUUUCCAGCUAAGUUUAUUUCUAAAUGAAAUAAACGAAGCGAGUAGUGUGCUACCUAUCUCUCAAAAAAAAAAGUUUAAUUAAUAUUUUCAUACAAUUUUCUCAACUAUAAAUUCAUUAAAGUAAGCAAUUCGCUUAAAUUUUGAAGUCAAACUACGUUGACUUACCCAAAUCAGACAAAUCGAUAUGUUUGGUAGUCAAAUCAAAAUUUUGAAAGGUUGGGCAGCAUAUUCACAAUAGUCCACAGUUUAGGUAAGUUUUAUAUAUUUUUACCUUUUUAUUUUUCAAAAUGAAGCUAGAAUACUUUUAAUAGUAAAAUAUGCCCACGCCCAUAGCUAUGAUCAACAUCGAGGUCAUUAGGAGGUAUGUUAUCAAGUGGCUCAAUGCUUGCUAUCGGAUUGAGAACCUCGUUGAUAAUCCCCACAUGACGCUAGGGUUAGAAUUGGCCGGGUUUGGGUCGGAUAAUACUAUGCCCAAGUCUGACCCCAAAAAAAUAUAUUGGGCUUUAUGUCGGGCUUCUAUUUUUGCUUAAAAAAAUAUAGGCUCCAAUGAAAGAUCAAAAUUCUAAUUAAUAUUUAUUAUAUCAAAAUUCUAAUUAAUAUUUAUUAUAUCAAAAUUCACCUUGAUAACCUCCAAUGCCAACAACGUAAAGUGUAAUUCGAACUCCCUUACUAUCCCGUUUUGAUCACUGAACGUGCAAAUUGCGCCAAUUAACUCCCUCCCUUUCACUCUCUCUCCUUCUCGCUCUGCCCUGCUUCUGCAGUUGCAGCCAGCAGCUUUUUUUUUUUUUUUUUUUUUUUUUUUUUUUUUUUUUUUUUUUUUUUUUUUUUUUUUAGAGAGAGAGAGAUAGGUAGCACGCUAACUGCUUCGUUUAUUUCAUUUAGAAAUAAACUUAGCUGAAAAUGUGAAUCAACUAGGAUUCGAACUUGGGUCUCGGAUACCAACCACCAAGCCCUUUGCCACUUGCUCUAGAGACGGUCGGUAGCCGGCAGCUUUUGUUGCUGCUGCAUUCGGGCACUGUUGAGGCCCGCUUAUGCAUUUGUCACACCGCAUAAUAUAUCUUUUUUAUUGUAUUAAAUUGAAGUAAAAUAUCUAUUUUUAUAUGUCAAGACCGGAAUUUAAUCACAUCGAAAAAUUAGUUUAUCUCUAAAGCACCUUCAAUAUUCAACUCAGCAUCAAAAUCUCAAGUAUUAAAAGUUGUAAUUAUCAUUCAUAAAAAUAAUUUUAUUCAUUAGCUAAAAGACAUCUAGAUUAUCAACGAAAACUAAUAGUCAAUUAAAAUCAAGUGUGGGACCCAACAGAAAAUGUCUAACUGAUUAGGGUAUAUAUUAGAAUAAUAUAUCUUUACAUGAGAAAUAGAUAUUUAGUUAAACAAAUAACAUAUCCUCGUAUAUAUUAAUAUAUACCCUUAAUAAUACUAGAACUAGGCUAGAAUAUUAUUAUUAAUAGCACUAAGUCAUGGUGCUGUUAGGUUUUCAGCCUUUUGAUGAAGGUAUGUGCGGUUAGGAUGAUAGUGAUUUCUAGGGUUGAGUGGGUAGUUAGUUGAAUUGUAUGAUCUAACGGAUCGAAAUGGUCAAAAGGGUAGAUCUAAUAGCAGAAAACUUGAUAGCGUCAAGUGCUUGAUGCUAUUCAUAACAUAGUAGCCGGACUCAUAAUAGUAUAUUAUAUAUAAAAUAUUAUAUCUUUCAUUCCUAAUAUGGAUAAAUAUAUCACAAGUAUAACUAAUUUUAUUAUGGUAACUAAUAUAGUGGGCUUUCAGGUCAAGCCCGAGUCGGGCUUGCACAUGUUCAAAUAGACCUAAAACUUUUUCAGGCCUAAAUUUUUAAGUCCGGCCCAAAUCCAAAAUUAUAAUUUUGAUACCUAAAGCCCGGCCCACAUAUGGCCCAUUAGAUCAGGCCUUGUUUAGGCCCAGGCCCAAUUCCACCUCUACAUGACGCUCAUGAAUCUCCUGGGUGUCCUAUAGCACUGGUCGAUCAUUCUCUAUAGCGGUCGGUGUAGAUACUAUGUAAUAUACUGAACUUUGGCUAAAUUGGCAAAGUACUGAUUAAAUCAUGCUAGACAUAAUUAAAAUACAGUUUGAGAAGAGUUUGGAUCGAAUUGAAACUAAUUCGGAUGAAAUGGAGUUCCAAAAGGAGUUGGAACUAGAGUUCUAGACUUCUCGGACGCCCGGAGCAGGGAUUCAGGUACACAAAAAGAUAUGGAAACGUGGACUUGGAGAUUUAUAUGUACCAACCAUUGGGAUUUAUUUCAAAGAUUUCUCUAAAUCAUGUAUGUCGGUUGAAAAAGGUGAUUUAUGGGCUCAAGAAAGCGUCAUGAGCUUGGUAUGAUAAAAUUACUCAAUACCUUCUCUUUUGUCGUUUUCAUAUUUUCAAUUCCAAUCCAAGUAUAUUUGUGAAAAAGUAUAAUGGUAUGCCUGUCAUUGUGUUGCUCUAUGUGGAUGACAUGAUUGUUACCAGAGAUUACCGAGGAGAUUAGUAAAUUUAGGGAUGAGUUUGCUAUUUGGGUUGAAAUGAAAGAUUUAGAUGAGUUGAGGCACUUUUUUGGAUUGGAGGUUGAGAAGGAUAGUAAUAGUAUUUUUGUCUCUCAAAAAUACUAUGCCUCAAAGCUUGUUGAAAAGUUUGGUUUGAAAUAAGAGUAAGUCAUGCUCUACUCCUAUGGAUGUAAAUAUGAGGAUGCAAAAGAGUAAUGGUAAGGCUCUUAAGGAUCUAAGCCUUUACCGGACAUUUAUUGGUAGCUUGUUGUAUCUUACUAUUACUAAGUCGGAUAUUGCAUAUUCGAUAGAGGUAGUUAGCCCGUUUACAAGAAAGCCACAUUUGUAUACCGCUAAGAAAAUUCUCAAGUUCGUCAAUUCCUCUUUUGAUCUUGGUUUUUUUUUUUACAAGAAGAGUGUAAGAUGUGAACUUGUAGAUUUUACCGAUGCUAAUUAAGUAGGUGAUCUUGAUGAGAGGAAAUAUACACCGGGCUAUAUGUUCAGAUUGGGUUCCAGUUAUGGAUCAUGGUGUAGCAACAAGCAAGACACCGUGACGCUAUUUAGUAAGGAGGCAAAGUACAAAGCGGCAAUCCUUGCGGCACAAGAAUGUAUAUGCAUGCAUGGUUGUGGACUUUGGUUGGUGAUGUGACAAAAAAAGUAGACUAUUUGGUGAAGGUUCAUUGUGACACCCGAAGUGCAAUUAAGUUGGCGGCGAAUCUGGUGUUUCAUGCUAGAACCAAAGUGCAAUCAAGUUGGCGGCGAAUCCCGUGUUACGAAAGAAAGUGCUUUAUGAUGAAAUCGAGUUAAUGGAAGUGCAGUCUCAAGACAACUUGGUGGAUAUUUUCACCAAAGCUCUUCCAAUGGUGAAGUUUGCAGAACUUCAAGAAGGACUCUUCCAAAGACAACUUGUUUUUUAAAUAUUUUUGGCUUAUUAGAUUAAUAAGUAUAUUUAUAGAAGUCAAAUGAUCUAUUAUUUAAAUGGGUCUUUUUUAUUCCUUUUGAGUCAAGUUGACUUGUGGUUUAUUGGCGUUAAGUAAGACAUGUUGGGCCACAUAUAUAGAUUUAGUUAGGAGUCAAAAGAAAAUAGAUUAAGAGAGAAUAGUAGCUUCUUCGUUGUAGUAUUUCUCUCAAAGGCAAGAGAAGUAUGAAAGAGGGUUCAAAGGUUGUAGGAUUUUGUUAGGUUUGAAACGGGUGACCUCUAAUCUACCUCUUUCCCUCUCUUGUGAAUAUUUGUUGUAAGGUAAUUUUGGUUGAAAGUUUAUUUGGUAUUUUUUUGAUUUUCUAUUGUAUGGUGUUUUGGAUAUUUUUGGGGAAGUUGAUUAAAUUCAUAUGUUAAGUUGUUUUAGAUUAUUAUUAUGAGCUUUUUAUUUCUCUAUUCUUGUCUUCUAUAGUAAUUGUGUGAUUUUGGGCACGUAAGAAAUUUGAAUUUUUCAGUUGCUACACAUUGUAGGAUAUGUUGUGAUCUAGUUAGAGCUGAUUGUACUUUUUGCUUCAAGCUUAAGGGAGAUUUGAUGGUGGAAAGGGAGAGAGAGAGAUGAAGUUGGGAGAAGGUCUUUCUCUCUCUAGAAAGGACGAAAAAAGAGAAGAAAUGAAAGGAAGAGAGAAAAAUUGAGAUGUUGUAUAAAAAAGGCAACAACACCCCUCUCUUACACAACUUGCGUACAUGCAGAUUUUGGUGCCUGAAUAAGAGUACCAAUACUUCCUCACUGAGUAUCGGUAUACUCUUAUAGUUCCACAAAAUGCUUGAGUGUUGGCAGCCAAAACAACUGAAGUGCAUCGGUACUCUCCAUUUGAGUAUCGAUACACGAUAUCCAGUAUCGGUACUCAACCUGAGUUCCGCAAAACCUAAACGUUAUCCCGUAGAGACUUAUGUUGAGUAUUGGUACCGAGGGAAUCAAUACUGGUACCAAUUAGGGAUUUGGCCCAAACUGCAGCUUGAUUUCCGAAACUCUGAUUUUGCACCGUUUUCGCAUCAAACCAGUUCUAUCUUAUCUCAAAUUCUCCCAAAACCUCUCUCAUAAGCUAUUUAAUAAUGAACUUUAGCUAUUUGCAAAAUUCAGUAUGCUACAAUGAUGCAUCGUCUUCAUGAAAAUUUCAAAAAAUGGUGAUUUGUUCGCCGUCUGUUCAGAGAUGGUGAACAAUUUAUCGUCUUCUAUAGUUGUCUCUUGUAUGCGUCAUUAAGUUGAUCAAAAGAGAGUUAGUUUCUCAAAUAAAAUUUUUGAAAGACUAUUUAGCCAAUUUGAAAAUUUUAGAAGAUUACUUUAAAAAAAAAUUUUGUGAAAAACUAUUUUCGGGAAAAAAAAAGUCAUAAAAAACAUUGGCCAAUUUGCAUAAAAAAUCCACAAGUUUUCAGCUUUUGCAAAACUAGGCCAUUAUUUUGGAUUUUGCAGAUUUGAUCCGAAUUUUUAGAAAACUGACUAAAAUACCAUUAUUCUCUUUUCUCUCUCUCUCUCCUUUUUUACAUUCUUUUUUUUUUUCUCUCCGACCCUCCUUCACCGCCUCCGCGGCCUUUCUCGACGGCAAACAGGGUGGCCCGCCUUCUCUUCCUCUGCUUCUUUUUUUUUUUACAUUCUUUUUUUUCUCUCUAACUCUCCUCCAUCACCUCAGCAGUCUAUUGCUACAGUAACAUCGACGGCACCGCCCCUUUUCCAAUACCUGCGUCAGAGGAGAAGGAUUCAAAGCGAGUACAGAGGAGAGCGGAACAAACGGAGGCGAUGAAGUCGUGGUUGAGAUAGUGUUCGCUGUUGCUUGUGAGUAUGUGAGGACUGAGAUUUUUUCCCUAUGUAUAUUGGACAUCUUCUUAAAUGUUAUCGUAUGUAUAUUAACUGUAUGCUUAUUUGCUAAAUUUCAGCGAAAAAAAUUUAAAAUAAAGUUUUUACGCGUUUAUUACUUUUCACUUAAAGUGAAUAGUAACCUACGUUUCUGGUGAUGACCGAGGAGAGAGGUAGCCUUUGGAUACGAAUCGUACUCCAUUCCCAGCGAUCCAAUAGCUUAUUUUCGAUGGUCCAACUGUGUCAAAACUAAUAGCACAGAUGGAUUUUAUGUUCGAUGCACGAUUUUCGAGAAAAAUAAGUUUUAUCGCUAAGAGGGUAUUUAUUCUGUGUUGAACUUGCUUUUUCGAAGCGAUCGGUGCUUCGUUUUGCAUGAAAACUCGCGGGCAGGGACCUUUUUGCGAGAGGAACGUAAUAAAGAGGGAUUAGAAUGUGAACUUCGAGAGUUAGGGGACUUUAGAGUGAUUAUCCUCCAAGAAUAGUGGUUUAUAGGUUUAGAUUAUGAAUUUUGGGGAUUUUAGAACCCGAAACCCUAGCCCCCAACCCUCCUCUCCUCCUUGUCCAUUUGAGAGGUCGGCCAUCGUCGUCAUCGCUGCUGCCGAUCGCCGAAGAGGAAGAAUAGAAGUUUUUCUUCUUCUUCUUUCUCUUUCUCUCUCUCCAAUAUUGUGUGGUGUGGGGUGGAGGGAGCUCGAGCGCCCUAUCCCUGCACCGCCGCCGACCUAAACCGCUGCCGGCACCACCCCUCCACCUCAGGCGGUCGUUCGCGAUGCUUCUUCGAUGUCGCCGUGCCUUGGGAAGCGACCACGGCUUAAGAGGAGCUCUCCAGAGCCGCGGGGCCGUGGGGAGACACCCAGCCGCAGGCGUCGCGCCGUGCCGCGUCGCCUCUCGGUGACACCGGAUGUCUCAGGAAGUCCACUGGCGCCGCCCCUCGCCGUCCUGAUCUGCCGCUGCAAUGAUCCAUGAUGCCCUAGCCGCAGCUGUGUGGGGAGCUCUGUCACCGCGUCGCACCACACCGCCACUGCACGGCCCGGAUUACCACAUUUUCCUGGGCCAACAGACCUGCCCUAUACAAAAGAAUUUUCUCUGUAUACGAAGCGAUAGCUGUACCUGUACCUGUAAACAUACAAAACUACAACUAGUAGUAUAGAGCUGCUAAUAGAACUGUAAACAUAUAUAAAUAAACAUCAGGUUCACUAUGCAUAUAUAGUCUCCAAGAUACAAACAUCACUCGCUCCAGCAAGUGACUAACAUCAGUAUGUACAUGAACCAAAAAACCAAAACUACCUAUAGCUGGUACUCCUCUAGAACAGCAACAAGACUAGAAAGGAUCUAGCUCGCGACUUCUUUGUAAGGAAAUGUAUGCUUUUGCAUGUACAUUUAAUGCAGCGGAAAUAAAUUUAUUUAUAAAAUAUGAUCCAAUCAUGUAUACUUUAAUAUCAUAACAUUUAUGAUUGUAGUAUCCUUAUUUCUUUAUCUUUUCUUUUCCUUUUUCUUUUUAUUUCUUUUGAGUUGGUAAGCUAGCUGGGGAUAAGGAUGCCACGUGCACCUUACCCCCAAGCAUGCUUAUCACCUUAAUACUUGUGCAUAGUUUAUAUAUAUAGUUCUUGAGCCUCUACGCAUAUAGUUCUUGAGCCGUUCGUAGAGGAGGAGCUCGGGUGGUGUGGAGUUUCGUCGACGUCGCGCAGCGGUGCCGUUCGAGCGUGUGUUCAUCGUCGUAGCAUCGCGAGGGGGGGCCGGGCGAGGGUCCGAUUCCGCCGUUUUUGUUGUCGCGCCGGAUUGUGAUUAGCGUUUGAGGUGGGUUACAUCGGCUUUACUCCUAAGUUCUUAUUGGCCGACAUGUAUAGAUCUUGAUUUCGGUAAUUAAUUUAGCUCAAAUUCAUGGACUAUAUGUAGAUUGCGAAAUCUGAAUUUUGGAGCAUAUUUUAUAAAUUAAGUAGAUCAUACAUGUUGGACUUGGAAAUUGAAUUAGGAGAAAACCUGCGAUUUGGACCUGUCACCAGUUUUAACUACCUGAUUUAGCUCUAGGAGCCGUUAGAAAAUUGUACUGUCGCAGUUUCUUCGAGACGAGUACUCCAGGUAGUUUAGAAUGUAUUUACACUCGUGCUGGUUCGCCGAGUGGAUUUUUACAUCGGUCGUUCAGGUUGUUUCGGACUGUUGGGUGCCGUCAGAAUUGACGGUGGACCCGUAUCGCCUUUUUGCGUCAGACUGUGCCGAGGCACGUUACCUGUUGGUUGUUAAUCAGUUUGAGUCGAUUACUUAACUUUGGCUAGUUGGAGCCUGAUUGAGCUCGACAGAGAUACGCUGCAUACUCGGUUGGGUAGCGCCCACGAGUGCCACUCCGGAGUCAGGCUUGUGCUUUCGCGUUGGUGUCGCUCAUGCCAGUUGGACUUGCUCUCCACGGACCAGUUAGUGUGGAGGUAGCUGGACAGUCGCAACGGGCAGGAGACGGUGUAUUCACAGUCCCUGGGACAGGUAUGUUUACAGUCCCGAUUGGAUUGGGUCAAAUUGGACAAUUCCUGCAGUUGGUUAGUGUAGAGCAUGAUAGUGUAGUAAUUGAUAGCGGUAGAGUUUACUUCCUGCUUUUCUGACUACUCUUGCUCCCUUCUGUAGACUUAGUGGGUAGACCGAUGUUGUUUUGGGCGGCACCCACUGAGGACUACCUGUUUUUACAGUAGUUCUCACGCCCAGUUGUUACUCCUGUUUUGCAGAGCCACAGGUGCCGGCUGCUGCAUCUUCCGCCGACCAGGAUCGAGGCAAGGGCGUUGCGAGCUAGAGCCCUACCCGACUGACAGAGCUAGAGGCACCCUUACUGCAGGUAGAUGUUUUGUUUCGAGUUUGUGUACAUAGCUUGCUUAACUCGCCAGUGCGAGUAACCAUGUAUUUUGAAUUUGGACUAUGUAUAUGAAACUCAGUUGUUUAGCUUUGGUUUAUUGAGCAGCUCUAUACUACUGUUUGUAGUAUUGUAUAUCUACAGGUACUUUUGACGCUUCGUAUACAGGGAAAAUUCCUUUGUAUACGGCGGAUUUGUCGGCGUGCCCGGGGAACGAGACAUCCGGGGCGUGACAAUGAUAUUAGUAUAUAUAUAUAUGUACCAAGAUCAUUUCGUGUGACACACAAAAUUAUUAUUCUAAUCUAAUUAGAAGAAGGGUUUGAAUUUCAACCUAUGCAAAUUACUGAAAUUAUUUUGCGGUUCAUGUGGAUCUAAACUUCUGGUCCUUUGAGCCGCACAAGUGUUCGGCCUCUAUGUGUAUCCACACAAGGCUGCUCCGGGAUCUGUGCUUCACACAAUCACAGUGUAAUCUUGAAACUCCUUUCGAGAUCUCUUGUGUCAAUGUGGAGAAAAAUUAAUCCUCAAAAUUGUGCUAGUAAUUUGAAGAGGAUUAACUAUAGAGACCAAUUAAUAUAGAAGGACCGCUCUCUUAUAAUUAAAAGAGAGCUUUAUUUGGUUGGGUGAAUUUUCUCUCUUUCUCUUUAUGUGUUGUGUAUUAUCGAGAGAUAUUAUUCUCAACCUCUUUUAUAGGUAUAAGACCCCUAUAAAUGAAGCGAGAAUAAACUCUCAUUAUUUAAGAAUAUGGCAAGAAACAGAGUGAAGAGAAAAGAAAGAAAACCGCCAUCAUAAAUGAGAGGAAAGUAAACUCCUCUCAUUUAGUGACGAAGCGGAAAGAGGGAGUGGAAAAGGAAACGAAAACUCUUCUCCACUUAAUACGCCAAUUAAUACGGAGAAAAGUUUUCUUGUUUUAAUAAAUGUAUGAUACAUGGUUUUCUUUUCCUCUACCUCUCCUCUUAAUUAAAGAACCCAAAAAAGAGAGGGUCAUAAGUUUUCUGUCUCGUUUGUUGCAACUUUUGCAAUAAGUUCUUAUACUAAAUCAAAUUUAGUAUUAGGUCACUCCGUACAAAUUUUAUCCUUUCCAAUUAGAGUUUCUACUAACUACCUUAGCAAAUAAAUUCUUGCUUUGCUAUUUUAGCAAAAUAGUCUCUAUUAAUUCUCCAAGCACUAGAUCACACACAGCCUUUAUUGUGUGUGACCACAUAGGUUCAAUUCUACUUAAUAGUGAGAUGUGACACUAAACUCUUUUAAUGCCACCAUCAAAACUCUUUUCGAUGGACCAAAAUAUUUUUGGUUCUCCCAACUGAGUGUAAUUAACUAUCUUAAUUACUCUUAUGAGUUCCAGAAUCCACGAGUGACACCUAGCAGUAUAUCGCGGCAAUCCAAGUAGAAUUAAUAAUAGACAGAACCUUUAGGUGUAGUUACCGUGUGAUAAAAUCCUUCUAUCACUUGUCCUGAUUGAGUCGAGGUUAUGGAUAACUCGUCAAAUCCCAUUAUUCAAUCAUAUGUCUCAUCUGAUUAACAAAUAUGGAAACUCCUUUCUAUAAAAUCACACUGCCUUGGCCAAGAACUUUUAUUUCUUAUAAAACAGAUAGUAUAGGACAAUUAUCUCUCUACCGAGGGUGAUAGAUUCCAUCUUGACACACACCUACCUCCACGUAUGACCCACUGCAAUCAACAUGUGUUGACUUAACCCAUGAUUAGGGUAUAAGUAUUUACACAUUCAAACUACAAUAACCCACAUGCAAGAUAACUGUAGUGCCUCAGGUCAAAGAGUCACUCACACUCUUACAGUAUGGAACAAUUCACUGACGAGUGAGUAGACAUCCAUGUGAUUGUUUAUAGUUGGUCACGCUCAGUGAAAUUGUUCUCCAACAUUCACCUGUAUGCUUACUCUAGUGUCACCAUACUAAUGACUUAAGACUCGUCAUCCCAUAAGGGAAGUACAGCAUACACUGAUCUAUUCGGAUUUACCACCGCCCUCAUGAUAAUCCUAUGAUCAGGAGCAUUUAAGAAUUAAUUACAGAAGAAUAUAAGUGUCAAAUUUCUAACUUCUUAGAAAUUUAAUUCUUCUACUAUUAAUUCUAUGGACGAUUCAUAAAUAUGCAUUUGGCAAUAAUAUGAAUGAAGAAUGCCAGAUUUAAUCAUAAAAGAAAAGUACACUGAUAUUAAUCCUUUAAGUUAUGACAUGAUUGGCUUAUAGGGCAUAUAACUAACAUCCCUCUCCACGAUCCAAAUCAGCAAUAGCAGUAGCCGCGGACGAACGCUCUGCAAAAGGGUCAACAAUUGUGGUGUGAGAACUACUGCAAAAAGAAGUAGUCCUCAGUGAGUACCGCUACCGUCCUCAACGCUCACCCACUAAGUCUACAGAAAGUAUGCUCAAGGAUAGUAAGAAAGCUGAAAAAACUCUACAGCUAUAUGCCAUUAUACUAUCGCUAACCACACUAGCUAUCUGAUAGAUAUAAGCAAGAUGCAAUUUCUGACCUAAUUCAUUAGGGACUAUGAACACACCCGCCGCUUGUCGAAGCUACACCAACCACCACCACGCUGGGUUGUGGUGUGAGAGCAAGUCCAACUAGGACACUACGAUAAUAACGCAAAAGCACUAAGCCCGACUCCGGAGUAGGGCUGUAAACGAGCCGAGCUCGAGCGAGCUGGAGCCAGCUCGAGCUCGGCUCGUCAUCUUCAAGAUGGCUCGUGUUCGGCUCGAGUGUGACGGGCUCGAAAACUUUGGCUCGUGAUCGGCUCGAAACUUAAUCGAGCCGGCUCGUGUUUGGCUCGUUAGCUCGAGCUCGUGGGCACACCUCGGCAGCGAUUCUUCGCUCCUCGACAUCCUCCCAGCCGCCGAGCUCGCCGUGGCUGAGGACGUACGCGACCUCGUCGACCUUGCGCGGCGCCAGUGCUGCGCUCGACCUCGCCCCGACCCGCCGGAGACGCGCACCGCUCGAGGUCCUGAAGCUGAUCCGCGAGAUCGAGAUGGAGAUCGUCCCCGACCGCGCGUGCUCGCCGCGAUCUUCGAGCCUGAGAUAGAGAAAGAGGGAGGCGGUCGUGUGCGGUGCUUGUGCGAGCCUGAGAGAGAGAAAAGAGAGAGAGUUGGGUGUGUCAUGUGUGUGUGGCUGUGUCACCUGUAUGUGCGGCUGGUGUGUGGGGCAGUGUGAAAAAGAUGGAAAAAUACUAAUUAGGGUGUGGGACUUAAAAAAAAAAUAUUGGUACUUAUUUAUGGAUCUAUGGGCCAUGAAUGGAAAUAAAAACUUCUAUAUAUAAAUGGGCUUAUGGGCCUUUUUAUAAAUAAGCUAAUUUUUUUAAAAAACUGGACUAAAAAUUUAAAUUAAUAAUCUGUAAUAUAUAUAUAUAUAUUUAUAAUACAAAUAUAAUAUUAUAUAUAUAUAUAUAUAUAAAAUUAUAUUAAUAUAAAAUAAAUAUAAUCGAGCUGUUAUCGAGUCGAACACGAGCGAGCUGACCCUAGCUCGUGUUCGGCUCGUUUAUUAAACGAGCUGAAAAAUCCAGCUCGUGUUCGGCUCGUUUACUAAACGAGCGAGCCUGUCACGCCCCGAGCCGCCUCUUUGGUCGGAUUCGGGCACGCAACAGACCGCCGAACGGACAGGGUUUCCCCUGCACGCGGACAGAGUCUCCCUAUACGUUCAAGGCGUCACAAUCAAUACAAUUACAGAGGUUCCAAACAGGAACAAUUUCAACAACGAUUGCUUAAGGAAGGUAUCAAACACAUAACACAUCCUAUGUUAUUACAAUCAUUCAUCUCAUCACUUUACAUCGCAUUUUUCAUUACAUUGAUCCUCAACUUCCAAAUAUACAAUCGAUUUCUAAAUAUAAUAUUACAACAUCGAUUCUUUCUUUUCUUUUCUUAUACCCCUAAGAAGCCGACUCAGGGUGCUGCUAUCUGGUCUCGUGUAGGGCGCUAACUACGGAGCUACGCCCUUUCCUCGCGCGCGCCGCGCCGCUCGCGUGUGAACCUGUACCCCCAAAACAACACACGGGGGUGAGCUAUUGUCCAUAGUCGUCGUCAGUGAGUACAGCCACCCAAGGGAAGGGCUCAACCCAUCAGGUCCAAAGAGGCACGUGCCAACAUGUUAGUCCAACAGAUAUAUACAUAUAACAUCAUGCAAUACAUGUUCAUGCUCACAAAUAUGCAAAUUAUGCAACUCUUAGUCAUUCUUUACCAUUAGCCUUUCUUUAGAAUAUGCAAUUCUUUAUCAUUAGCCAUUCUUUAUUCUUUAAUCUUUAUUCUUUAUUCUUUAUUCUUUAUUCUUUAUUAUUUAUUCUUUAUUCUUUAUUCUUUGCUAAGGGCACUCGCACCUUAGGCGCAUUAUACACAUUUGCCAUUCUUUAUAACAUUAACAAACGUUUCUCAUUGGUCAUUCUUUCUCAAUUGUCAUUCUUUCAUAGGGUUACCUUUACCCUAGCCAACUAUGCCACUCGACUCGGUCUUGAGUCAAUUCAUAAUGAAUACAAGAUCCACUUUCCAAUUCAUGAUUCCUUUUUGUUCUUUGUUCUUUAAUCUCACGGCUAACCCGGGGUUUCGCCACAUUAACUUGCUUACAUUAAGUCCAUCAUCGCAGGAACUCACCAGCUAGGACCGUCCUUCGCGGUUUACUCCAACCCGUGAUGCAAAACUCCGGAGCGCAUUGCCGAGCGGGGGCGACGCGCCCUCGAGCACGGAACUCAUAGCAAGUAUGAUCAUAUCCUUAACUCAAAGGAUUUGUAGUUGAAUCAUGGCUUUACACUAACUUUAGUGUUCUUUACAUCACAUUAGUUGCUAACUCUAGCAAUCAUUGUUCUUUACACCCCACUUGUCAAUUACUCUAGUAAUUGUCAUUCUUGAUACCACACUUGUUUUUUGUUGCCACGCACUAACUCUAGUGUGCUUCAUGUCACAUUGGUUGCUAACUCUAGCCUUAUCAUUGUUCUUUACACUUUGCUUGUUCUUUAUGCCACAUUACUUUACAUCACCUCUAGCCAUUAUCAUUAUUCUUUACAUCACAUUGCUUUGCCUUGCCUCAAGCCAUUAUCAUUAGGUUCUCACAUUAAAUCUCAUGCAUACACAUAGAUUAUUUAGAUUCUUAAUCAUUCUAAUAAGCACGUGUACUCACAUCAUGCAACAUUACAUUAUUAUCAUCACAUUAUUUUACAUUAUCUUUAGCCAUUAUCAUUAUUCUUUACAUCACAUUUAUUCUUUGUUGUCCCACACUAACUCUAGUGUCACUUUACCAUUUCGAAUGCCACUCGAUCUAUGUUCAACAUGCAUAUAUUUUGUCAUCCAUUGAUGUCUAUUACUUAGCAUUUUAUGCAUUCGUUAACAUUUACUACAUACAUUCUUGGUUAGUACAAAUCUCAUACUUUCAUUUGACAUCUAUUUAGCAUUUCUAUAAUAUGCAUAUGUAAUUAACAUCAACUCAUGCAUUCAUUUGGCAUCUAUCUUUAUCAUGCAUUCUUAAAUAGCAUACUUUAUCAUGCAUCUUCCAAAUAGUAUACUUUAUCAUGCAUCAAUAGUAAUGUCACGCCUGGAUUACACUUUCCCGGCGCGCGCCGACAAAUCGCCGUAUACACAGGAAUUUCCCCUGUAUACGAAGCGAUAGCUGUUCCUGUAAACAAACACUACUACGAACAGUAGUAGAGAGCUGCUAGAGAAAACAGAAGCUAAACAAACUGAGUUUCAUAUACAUAGUCAAAUCCAAAUACAAAGCUACUCGCACUAGCGAGUUAAGUCCACUAUGUACAUAAACUCGAAAUAAAACAUCUACCUGCAGUAGGGGCACCUCUAGCUCAGCACGUCGGGAAGGCGUCUAACUCGCGACGCCUUGCCUCGAUCCUGACCCGCGAAGGCGCAGCAGCCGAAACCUGUGGCUCUGCAAAAACAUAGGUAACAACUGGGCGUGAGAACUACUGUAAAAACAAGUAGUCCUCAGUGGGUACCGCCAAAACAACAUCGUCACCACAUAAGUCUACAGAAGGGAGACAAGAGUAGUCAGAAAAGCAGGAAAUAAACUCUAACCGCUAUCGAUCCCUACACUAUCAUGCUCUACACUAACCAACUGUAGGAAAUGUCAACUCUGACCCAAUCAAUCGGGACUGUAAGCAUACCGUCCCGGGACUGUGAAUACAACCCGUCCCUGCCCCCGUUGCGACUAUCCAGCUCUAUCCACGCCAACUGGUCGUGGAGAGCGAGUUCAACUGGCAUGAGCGACACCAACGCGAAGCACAAGCCUGACUCCGGAGUGGCACUCGUGGGCGCUAACCAACCGAGUAUGCAGCGUAUCUCUGUCUGAGCACAAUCAGGCUCCAACUAGCCAAAGUCAAGUAAUCGACUCAAACUGGUCUAACAACCAACAGGUAACGUGCUCUCGGCACAAUCUGACGCCAAAAAGGCGAUACGGGUCCACCGUCAACUCUGACGGCACCCAACAGUCCAAAACGAUCUGAACGACCCUGUAUAAAUCCACUCGGCGAACAAGCACGAGUGUAAAUACAUUCUAAACUACCUUGAGUACUCAUCUCGAAGAAACUGCGACAGUACAAUUUUCUAACGGCUCGUAGAGCUAAAUCAGGUAGUUAAAACUGGUGACAGGUCCAAAUCGCAGGUUUUCUCCUAAUUCAAAUUCCAAGUCCAACAUGUAUAAUCUAUUUACUUGAUAACAUAUGCUCGAAAAUUCAGAUUUUACAUUCAAACAAUAAUCCAUGAAUUUGAGCUAACAACUAUUGUAGAAAUCACGAUUUAUACAUGUCGACUAAUAAACACUUAGGAGUAAAGCCGAUGUAACCCACCUCGAGAGCAAAUUCCUAGCAGCAAGGAACUCCCUCAGCUGCGGCACAACCUGCUGGAUCGACUGAAAAUGUCCGAGUCUCAAAAUCGAGCUAUCUCCAAGCUAUCAACAUCAAAAUCCACAAUUCAGUCCAAGUACACAGCAGCAGAGAAGGGAAGGGUUUCGACCAAGCUAACCUUCACCAAAAUCCACAAGUAAGGACUUCGUGGAUUCCUCUCGCAGUCCCGAAACCAACGAAUCAAGUCUUGUCGAAAUCCGAUGCUCCUACGUCGAGUACGAGCUGAAAUACUAACAGUCGACGAUGAAAUUCAGCAAAACAACACUUAAGCUUAAAUAUCUCAAUUCCAAUGUCAAAACUCACCUAACGAUCUCCAAAUCGGGUGAGGACAGUUCCAAAUCCAGCAAAUACUGAGGGGUGAUCAGUCUCAGGACUAAAAUCCCACUGCCUACAAAGUUAGCAUCAAGAAAAGCUCAAAAAUCCAAUUUUCAGCUCAAAACCAACAGCAGUCCAGAAAAACCUCAAUUCGACCAAGCUAACCUCAACCAAAAUCUGCAAUUUAGGGCUUCGUGGAUUCCUCUAGAAGUUUAGAAUCCAGCAAACCAAGUUUCGUUGAAUUCCGAUCUUCCUACGUCGCGCACGAGCCAAAACACUGGAGGUCGUCGCUGAAGAACUGCAGAAUCAGCAUUCCAUCAAUCUGGAUCAUGGAAGUUUGAUGCAAAUUGAGGUAAAUCUGAGUGUUUGAGAUGCUAAGGGGACUUCUCUGUGAAGAAUGGAGGAAAAGAGCUCACCAGGGUCACUUUCCAUCUAUUUAUAGGCUGCUUGGAAGAUAAAAUAAGCCCCAAGAGAAACAGCUGCAAUCCAGUGCCCCUGCAGAAACGGGCGUUUCUGGGCGCCCGGAACCAUGUUCUGGGCGACCAGAACAUCCCGACUGCACAAACCGGGCUCCUCGGACUCUCCGCUCGCGGUGCGCUGCGCCCGUAAACGGCUCCGGCGGAACUCACCUACCACCCUGCCACGCGUCGAAGCAAGCGAUAUUCACGAUGUCAAAUUUUCGGACCCAGAUCUGGGCGCCCGGAACAUGGGAUCCGAAUUGGCUUCCAGUUUCAGUUAAAUUCAACACUCGUUUCUGGGCGACCCUAACAAUGUUCUGGGCGCCCGAAUCUGGCAAAACUCCAGUUUUGCUUAUUUGAGUGCGCCGAGUCCAAUUCUGCAUCCAAUUCGUGCAGAAUUUACUCCAACUCAGUCCGACACUCUCCAGAGAUGUCGACCAGUCUAUAAUACUGAAGCCAAUCCUAUCCAAAGCUCAGGAACACUACAAGUAAACAUACUACACUUUGGCAUGGAAAGCGACCUAAUCGCUUCGGUGAGCACAACCCACCUCAAAACGCUUUCCGAUUGCUUGUCGACACUUGCAAUCGGCCUCCCGCGGCACCCGUGACCCGGUUUGGCCCGAACUAUUGCGCGACCACCCGAACGGCCACCAAUUCGCGAUCCGUCUAUUUGGGAGUUUAUUCCCCGACACCACGAUGCUCCCGAUCCAUUUUCAUGAUUUUUGGAGGCUUAUCCCGCGUGCUGCGGCUAUCUGUACCAAAACAGAUUGUUUCGUCAAUAACUUUGCGUACACUCGUCGGAUUGUCGAACCGAGCGCACCAACGCGUUCGUUAUACCCCCAAUUAGGUUUAUAAAGGGUCAAUUGAGAUCAAACUCAACUAUUUACAAAAAACCCCUUUUUGGAGCCCUAGAUGCUACUCUAGCAAAAUCCUCCAUUUCGUCUCAUGAAUCAAGCAUGGUUCAUCUAUUUAGCAUGCUAGGAUUUCAUUAAAAUCAUCUUUAGAGUAUAAGAACUUAACCCUAAAGAUCUACCAUUAAAGCUCCAAGAAGCUUACCUCAAGAAGCUUGCUCCAAGGUGAAGAAGAAGAUGAUGGAGGGAAGCUCUCCACUUGCUUCACCUUCUUUUCCCCUUUCUUCAUCUUCUUUCUCUUCUUCUUCUUCUCUUCUCCUUUCCUUUCUAGAGAGAGAGAGAGAAGGCUUUUGGUGUGGGAGAGUGAGAGAAAUGAGAGAAAGAGAGAAAGGGUCCUCUCUAUACACUCUCAUAAGUGCCAUUUUGCACUUAAGCCCUUCCACAAUGCUUCUCUCGCAACAGCCCGAACUGGGCAUUUUCGGGGUUCGGGGACCGGUCCUGGCGAUGAGAGACCGGUCCCUGAGAGACCGGUCCUUGACUGAGAGACCGGUCCCCGAAGGUCCAGAAAUCAGCCUUCAAGGACUUAGCCAAAUUUUCAGCUUUUUCACCGUUUUAGCUCCGUUUUCGCUCGUUUUUGCUCGUUUGACCUCCGAUUCAUUUCAAAUCGAACCGGGACUCUCCAAACAUGUUUUCCAACAUGUUUUCAUCAUCUUUCCACCCACGCUAAUGCCGGAUUUAACUCACGGUUCAACAUAGCCUUUCGGCUCCGUUUUCGCGCCCUAUGCGCACCGAAGCACCCGAGUGCUCCCGAACUUUGCCGGGACAAUUCCAACGGCUGUCUAAGCUAACUUACAUCGUAACUCUAUGAAUUUAGAAGUUCGGUAUAUUACAGAGCCGAUCUCGAGCUCAUUUCGAGCCGAACACGAGCUGGCUCGCGAACAGCUAGCUGGAUUGCCACCCCUACUCCGGAGUGGCAUUAGUGGGCGUUACCCAACCGAGCAUGCAAGCGUGUCUCUGCCGAGCUCAAUUAGACUCUCAUAGGCUAUAAUCAAAAUAAAUGGCUCUAACUGGUCUAACAACCAAAAUUCACGUGCCCUUGGCAUAAUCUGAUGCAAAUACAGAAAUCUGGGUCCACCGUCCACCGCGACGGCACCCGACAGUCCGAAACAGUCUACACACUACUGUAAAAAUAAACUUGGCAUCCCAGCAUGAGCGUAAACUCAUCCUACACUAAUCUGGAUAUCCACCGCAUACAAACUGCGACGAUACAAACAAAUAAUAGCUCCUAAAGCUAAAUCUUAUAUUUUUCAGAAAAUGACAAUGUAGGAUCUAUAGUUUUCUCCUAAGUUAAUUCUAAGUCCAACAUGUAAAACAAAUCUAGCAUUUAAGGCUCCAAUUUAGAUUUUAUUAAAAGCAAUGCAAAUCGGCGAAUCGAGCUACUAACAUGAUAUACUACACAUGAAGUUUAUAUGCUGACAACAACUAGGCUUAAGAGGAAAUCCGAAGACUUCGGUAAACUUCAACCCACCUCGAAACGCUAAUCCAACCAUGGUGAGAAGUCGAGAGAAGGGAAAACAUGCGCUCAUCUGGCCUACAACGGCGCAACUGCGACGUCCACACGCUCGAACGGCUCUUCGGCACAACGUCGAUGUCGAUCCGAGCUCAAGCCGUCGUGGCCUCCACCAAGCAUAUAAUUAACACUUGAGAGAGAGAGAAACAUAAUUAAACAAGCUACUCUCCCUCAGGUGGAUAAAUACGAGGGAGAGUUGGUGGUGUGGAUAACCACCAACCAAAAUGACAUCCAUGCCCCUCACCAACUCAAUUUACAGCUGGGGUACCGAUACCAGCCCGAUUCCGUACCGAUACUCAGCAUCAAUUAUCGCAACCCGAGAGCAGCAGUUCGAAAAAUACACUGGGGUACCGGUACUCCCCUGCAUAGUACCGGUACUCAAUACUGAAACCCACACUUCGCAGAUUUCAAUAUCAAACUCUGCUCUCGCGUCGCACUGAGUCCGUUUUGCGUCCAUUUCGCGCUAAAACGACUCCGACUUGUCCCAACACUCUCCAGAUGUGUCGACAAGCCUCAGAUGCUGAAAUCCACGGGCAACUAAACAUUAGGGGUACUACAGCCACAGCCUCCCGUUGCCUCGGGUCUCCUUCGCCGCCUCUCUCUAGCUGUUGCGACCCGCCGCCGCUGCCUCGUGGCACCCCCGACCACCGCUGCCGCCGUUGAGCUCUAUGAACCCGAGCUCAUGCCACCCGGGCUAUACGACUUGAGGUGUCGCCGUCGCUGCACUCCGUCACCUGCCGAGGGGAGCACGGGGCUUCCUUCCCUCUCCGCGUCCGAUCCCCGUCGUCUCAGGCGCUAGCAGGUCGCAGGCAGUCGGCCGGAGCCCCUGCUCCCUACCCUAACUUUAUUUAGUGCCGGUGACUUGAUUGGUGUUUCUCGAUCAUCCGGCGCUUCCCCAUCAAUCCGAAAGUGAGCAUGGCGAUGCUCGCGACUUGCUGAACACGGUGCUCACCUACAUUACUGUCGGUGACCCUCCGUCGCUGAGUUUCGACUUUUCGGCUUCCAUAAGCAUGUCGUUGGAGAGGUUUUUCUACUGUUUCGAAGCCGUCUGGUUGUCGAUCAUGCUCCGAACAGUGAGCACGAGGAUCCUUGCGUCGAGACAAGUUAAAUCGACUGGUUGGAUUGAUUCGCUGUGAUGCGGAUCAGGAUAACAAGCUCGAAACUUAUGUUUUAUGCAUUAUUUGUAUAGUGGUUGUUGCUUUGUUAGGUUAAUUGCAAAUAGUAUGCUAUGGGGACCCCGCCCACAGCCUCGGACAGCAUGUCAUCACUGUUGACGACCUCUAGACUGAUCGUCAAAGGUCCGGGUGGAAAUAGGGUUCCACAGCGUUGUUUGGCAGAAAUUCAUCGAUCGGACACGAUUUAUGUUGCGAUUUUCGUACAUUGGUCAUUUGAAUGCCCUGGAGACCCCAUCAAGUCUUGUUGGUUGAUUGCUACCGCCAUCUUCGAAGUUCAGAGGUGGUGGAUGAGCGGCAGAGGGGUUUCGAUGCGUUUUUCGGCAAAAUCACCGAUAGAACGUGAGUUUGCAUCGUGAUGAGUUUUCGGCUACGUGGUCACCCGGGGAAUCAUCGCCUAACCCCGUUGGCUGGCCGCCAGGGUUGCCUCGUGUUUUCGAAGGCGACAGGUGAGCGGUGGAGGCUUCCGGUGCCAAAGUGGACACUUCCGGAAGCCCAGAGCAAAUUAGUCGACCGAUAAUGAUCUAGUUGACCUUGGUGCUUGUGUUCACUGCCUGGACGCUCAAAUGGAUGUGUUUCAGGGCAGUGAACAACUCACGGCAUGAGUUGGUGUGUUUCGGAAAGUUUCGUGGGUCUUGGGGGCAUCCCGGUGCGUUUUUGGGAUUCCCGACGAGUUUCGGGAAUCGGUUUUGGAAAACUAAUCCCACGGAUGGUUUUGGGUUUGUGAGCAUUGUGUUUUGAGUUACUUGGAUCAGAUCCUGACUCGGUGGACCUAUCGUAGGUCCGGUCGACAUCCCUCGUCUCGCAGGAGCUAGCCGAAGCGACGGACACAGGUGGGUACUUCGAUCCGAAGUCGGUUCAGUGGUGCACAUUCGGUGAUAUUCCUUUCAUUUCUAUCCUUUAUUGCUUACAUAUACUUGUCUAUCCAGUACUAGAGGCUUUCACCAUAUGACUUCGAGCUUGCUCUACGUAGUGUAUUCUCUCUUGCAUUCAUGACUUAGAGUAGACCGGUAGUGAUAUUGAUAUACAUCUUCUAGUUGACUUGAGUGGUUGGUGCCUGCAUACCCAUGUGACAUGGACAUCAUACCUACUAGUUGGCCUGAGUGGUCGGUACUUGCAUACACUUGAGAGUAUGUUGAGUUGUCCUAUCCUAGUUGACUUGAGUGGUCGGUACUCGUAUUUCCUUACAGUUCAAUAACCUAUUGGUCAGUGUGCCCCGAGGGGCGGAGAUUGUCAGCCAUUCGCCGACGGUUGACUAUUGAUCAUAGUCGCAUCAAUGGCCACAGCUCGACAGCAUUUCAUGAACAUCAGCGGUCUGAUCUCUCGCGGGAGGGUGUUAUUUUUCGGAAAAGUGGUUGGUUGCCAAUCUGUGAGCCCAUAAGCUUAUGCUAGGAUUAUAUACCAUUUAGAGCGGCCUGGCACUUGCCUGAGGUCCUUAAACCGACACGGCGGCAUAGAUUGGGUACAUUUGGACUUUUCGUCUAGUUGACGCAUAUAGCUACAGUAGUGAUUGUUGCAUGCUUACUUACAGUUCUUAUAUUCUUUACAUUUACAUUGCUACUGUAGGCCCUUUUUUACCUAUAUUUGGUUACCAGUGAGUACAAUUGCUUUCGUCGGCUUGCGGUACCCACUAGGAGGGGGAGACGUGUUUACAUAUUCUCACCCUCCACUAUUUUUCAGGUGACGCGGAUGAGAUUGGUCGGGACAUAGCGUGAGGCCAUAGCUAGUGCGCGGUUAUAGAGGUCUCAAUCUAUGGUAUACGUUCUGGAUUAGUUCAUACAUAGUAUUAGACAUAUAUGUGAUAGUAUAGUUCACCUCUACACCUGUUAGCAGAUGAUACAUGUAGUUCAGUUAAUACGUUAUAUUUGCAAGUUUUUGGAUGAUAUAUUUAUGAGCUUUUGAUAUGCAUGGUUUUGAAAUUUCCGUGCCUUUUAAACAUUUGUGGUUUUGGACUCAGUUUUCGAAUGUUGGUUUUCUACUUCUCGUGGUAGCAUUUUCAAAAUAAAGGCUCCUGUGUGGGGAACGGUUUCAAAUAGUUUUUUGUGGCUUUUCGAAAGUUAGAAUUUCAAAUAAAGUUUUCGAUUGGGAGACAUUUGGAACUAAUAAGAUAUAUGCUAAUGAACGUGAAUGGAUGUGACUAAAAAUCGUUAGUUGUAUGAUGUGAAAUUAGUGAUUCUUGUACAUCUUGUAUCAUUGUGUGUGCGAGUGAAAGUCUGAUUGUUAAUUAUUUUCUAAAUUUCUUUUCAUAUUUUUUGUUUUAAGAAACCAAACAGUUUCAAAGUGAAAUUUAAAUGAUAGCAUAAAUACCACAAAAAAAAAAAAAUCAUAAUCAACUCAUGAUAUUACAUUAAAAAAAAAAAAUUAUCUUUUUACCAUACUUUUUAAUUACACCUAACAUGACACAAUCUGUUUGUAAUCCUACGAGAGCCUAAAAUAGGUUAGUGUCUUGAUGAGUUAAUUAAUUAAUUAAUUAAUUAAUUUUAAAUAUUUUUUAUGAAAAACGUCGCAGAUAAAGAGCUCAUUUCGUAGUUGGGCUUUUUUAUAAAAUGACCCUCCAAAAAAUUGAAAUUGGCAAAAUGACCCUGUAAAAAUUUUAUUUGUAAAACUAACCCUCCUUUCGCCACGUGGGUACCACGUCAGGAUUUCCUUACAAAGACGGUGAAUCGUUCGCCGUUUUCUCCCACUUCUUUUAAAGGCGGUGAAUCGUUUCCCGCUUUUAUCCAUUUCUUUUAAAAGCGGUGAAUCGUUCACCGCUUUCUCGUAUUUCUUUUAAAGACGGUAAAUCGUUCACCGCAUUUAUUAAAAUUGUGCGUGAAUUAUAUAGGAAAUAGAAAAAAGUGAGGUUGUUAGGAUUAUAUGUGGAUCAUUAGAAUUUUUAUUUGAUUAUUAGGAUUGUAUAGAUAGAUUAUUAGGAUUUUCAGGCUGUUAAGAUUAUAUGAAAUUAUAUGGAUAAAUUAUUAGGAUUUAAAGGUUGUUAAGAUUAUAUAUGAUUUGUUAGAAUUUUUAUGUGGUUGUUGGGAUUAUAUAUGGGAUAUAAAAAAAAAUAGUGAAUAAGUGAAAGGCGGUGAAUGAUUCACCGUUUUUAAAAGAAAUAGGAGAAAGCGGUGAACGAUUCACCGCUUUUAAAAGAAAUGGGAGAAAGCGGUGAACGAUUCACCGCCUUUAAAAGAAAUUCUGACAUGGCGCCGACGUGGCGAAAGGAGGGUUAGUUUUCCAAAUAAAAUUUUGAGAGUGUUAUUUCACAAAUUUCAAAAUUUUAGAGGGUUGUUUUAUAAAAAAGUCCUCGUAGUUCUCCGCAUUCUUUGUUUUGUUUUGUUUUUUGUUUUUUUUUGUUUUAGUUUUUUGGUUUUUUUUUUCGUGUUUUUUUUUUGUCCAUCGGAGUCGAGGGUGAGGGCGAAUCGGGCGAGGCGCUCGCCGGCGCGGGUGCCGCAGCUCGGGUCUCGCUAGGGCAACGCUCUCUCUCUCUCUCUCUCUCUCGUCCACGGCGACGGUAUCGUCGUCGUCGUCGGCGAGGGGCUCGUCGGCGCCGGCGAGGGACUCGUCGGCGGCGAGGGGCCUCGCUUGAGAAAGGGGGCUUAUUCUUCGUCUUCGUCGUCGUCGUCGUCGUCGAUCGAGCGAGAUAGGAGGGAGAGGCGAAGUCGAAGGGCGACGAGAUCUCUUCUCGAUUUCGGGUGAGUCUGUUGCCUCGCGUGAUCUGAUCUGAAUCUUGGAUUAUGAAAUUGUGAUCGUUUAUGCAAAUUGUGUGCUGAAUAAGUAAUCCGGGGUUUAUAAUGCUGAUGAAGGUAAUACUUCCUUUUGGAUUGGUUAAUUUGGUGGUUCGUUGCGGAAGCUUGUAAUGUUGUGUUGAUGUAGUCUCAAUUUGAUAUCAUGCUUAUUAGCUGGUAAUGGAGAGAGAAGUUAUGACAUGAUUUAGUAUCUAGGUAGUUGCAAGAUCAGCCUCUUCGCUAGUUUAAUUGUGUCAUUUGCUUUGAAAAGUAAUAAGAGAUACAAAAUAUUGGUUAAAGCAUAUUAGAUAAAGUUUUAGUAGUAUCUCAUCUUUUAAGAAUUUUCGAGAUGCUUUCAAGAAGAAGAUUCAGCACUAAGAAAUGGUACCAAAUGUAUGUUUGACUCGUUUUCAAGAAGAAGAAGCAACCAUGGCCUGACAGUAUCAGCUUGAAAAUGGUUGAUCAGUUGCAUCGUUUUAUUGAUCUACCAUUGCCAAACUUUGUGCCAUGAAGUUAUCUUUCUUCAGUUGUUCCGGCACCAACCCUUUUAGUUCUUGUUUUAAAGAGUCAUGCCACCAUGUGAAAACAUCGGGAAACUUGUAAUACUUGCCAUUAAGGACAAUGAAGUUGGUAGAUGGAUUUCUUGCACAAGGAAUUCGACUUUGUACGUUUUGACUUUAGGACGUUGCUAAACAUAUUCGUUGUAAUUGAAUAUCGAGAUGAUCAUAUGGUAGGUACAAGCAAAUGACAACAUCAGUAAAGUGAUUUUGAACUCAAAUUAAUUACCUUCGCAUCAGUUACCAAUUGAGGAUGUCAGCAUGAAAGCUUGUGGAACCUUUAGGAGACCCAGGACCACAUGCAACAUGUGGAACCUUCUCUUUUGAUGGUCCGAUGUAAUAUAAAUUAGGUUGUGUGACUCGUAGUUUUCAUGUAGGAAACAUCCAGUUAUGUAUGUUGAUGAGAGAUCAUAUUUUUACCUAUAAAAAUGAUCUUCCUUCAAGUUUUGAGGCUCUUUUACGCUUUGAACAUGAAAGGUUUCUACCAUGCUUGGUCUUUGUAUAACAAGGGCAUCUUGUGGAAAGUCAUGCAAUUCGUCUUCUUAACGUUUUUACAAAAUCUAUUUGGUGGAAUAUGGAAUGUGUAUAAGUUUUUGACCAUCAAGGCAUAUUGAAUGAAAACAAGGUGAUAUUAGUAUCUUCUAACAUGUUAGUUGAUGUUUCCCAGUGGUUUAUGUAGCAUAAGAUUUAAAUUGCUCAGCACAAUUAGUGGUGACUUAUAGUUUGGUUAGUUUUUUAUAAUGCUCUUCAUGCUUCGUCUUAGGCAUUUUUUACUUACUAUCACCAUAUGUAGUUUGAAGCAAAGCAAUAUGUUGCCUGAGCGGUUAGAAUAGGCUUUGAUCGAGGCGAAAUAGACUGUGAUUGUCGUCGCUUCAAUCUAAGACUUUGAUCAACCUCGUGCAGUAUAUGAAUGGUUUGACAAUUAGAAACAACUUCAUCAAAACUGAAUAGGAUAUCUUUCAUACAAACCUUAACUUUCAGCUGUACAUCGAAUUAGGCAACUGGAAAUUCAUUAAUAGUGCAUAGCUUCAAAUAUGAAACCUCAUUGUGGCAUUGGGGGGAUUGUCAAUAACUAGAGUUAUAAUGUAGUUAUGGAAAAACUGGAUGUUGACCCAAUGUGCGAAUUAUCAAACUGUAAGAUGUACGCCAAUGACGAUUUUUACAAUGUUGUGGUGGUGCAUGCCAUCCAUAGCUGCAACCUGUAGAGAUGUGCACUUGGUGGCUAGUUGAAACAAUCACCUUUUGGCUAUGACUACGGGAGGGUUGACUAGUGAAGUUUUUAUAUUUCAAGUUGUCAUGAUAUACCUUUCCUAGUUUGGUUUUGUCAUAUUUAAGUUUUAUCUUUCUAUGCAGCAAUAGUUACAUUCGGGUUAGACAUUAUCAAGGGCAUAGAUGAUUCAUAAACAAAAAUUGCCUCUCUCCCUCUCUCUCGUCCUUCUCUCCUCUAUUUCAAAUUAAGCAAACUUUUUAAUUCUUAGUUGAGCAACUCUUAAAGGAAGCUCGUAUGAUUUCUGCCAAUAAUAUUACAUAAUCCAAACUAAGAAAAUGCAUUCUUAAUUUUGUUGUCAUUGGAUUAAUAAAGUGAAAACGAAUUCCAAUCUCCUUUUGCAAUGAAAGUUGCUUUAGAUAUUAACAUUAUGAUGGAAUAUAUUUGCUUGAAAAGGAGUACUUCUUUUGGAAAAGGUAGUAAAAGUUGGAAGCACAAUAAUGAUAUAUGUAGAAUCAUAGAUGAGGUCAUGGGCAUACAUGGGAGGUGACAAGUAAUGACAAUAUGAGGAGUGGUAAGCAAAUUUCCUAUCACGAAGGGAUUACACCAGGUUUCAACGUAAAUCCUUAAUUUUGGUGUUGAUCAUGGAUGAACAUACUACGCAUCUGUAGAAUGCACAUAUAUCUAUUUUUGUUGAUGAUGUCUUCAGUUGAUGGUCAGGAGUUGCUAAGAGAAAUUGUUGUUAUUGUAGUGAUUGUUCAAUUGGAAGGACAGAUAGAAGUUAAUAUUAUUCACAUUAUUGAAGUAUGAUAUUGAAAGUUGAGGCUAAGUUCUUGUUGACAUCCUUCUAUACUUACUGAGCUAUAGAGCAACUUAUUGAGAAAAUCGGUGUUGUUGAGGAAUCAAGCCAGAAUGCUUUUAGAAUCAAGCCAGAAUGCUUUUAGAAGCAUUAGAGUGUUGGUGCUUCCACUUUUUUACAAGUCGGAUGCAUAUCAUUAUUGAAAUUUGCCUAAUUCAAGAUAUGUGUCCUCAUGAUGCUUAUUAAAAUUCCUGCUCAUCGAGUAUGUGCUUGAAUUGUGAUGCAUAUUUGAUGCGCGAAAAAGGGGAAGCACCAGCUCUCUAGUGCUUUUGAACGCAUUCUUGAUGAACUAAUAGUUGAAACGAGAAAAUUGAUGUAUGUGCUUAGUGUGGAUAAGAAAUUAUUAGGUUCGUUAUAACUCAGAAAAGCAGUAUUCAUGAUAUUAUCUGAGAAAAUAGCUAAGAUACUUUGGAAUGUUUAGCAGGAAAAUAGUCCCACUUUUAAAGAUGUUGGAUCACUGCUGGGUAAUAUAAAGAUAUGAUUAUUGUUCCAAAAAGUAGCAUAUGCGGUUCGGACCAUCAACCACACCACAUAUGUAAUAUGCUGUGCAAUAUGCUGUUGGACUGCAUAUGUGGUAGUAUUUUUUUUUUUUGAAGGUGGGAUUGAAAUGCAGUGUUGAAUUGGAUUGUUUGAUUAAUGAUUAUAAAUAUACACAUGACUAUUUUCAUUUAAGUUUCGUUAAUAUGAAUGUAUAUAAAUGUAUUUAUCAUUAUAUAAAUACAACCUAUCUAUCUUUUUUCUUAUUUUAGUAGGUAUUAUUCGUAAUAUAUCUAAUAAUUACAUUUAUAAAUAUUGGUGAAUAAUUUUUGUUAUAUAUUACUAGAUGUUAUUAUACGAGAUUUUUUUUUUAAAGGGUAAUUUCAUUCGAGCCCUCUUAAAAAUGGGAAAUACCAUAGAUGCCCUUUCAAUUCAAAAUUUCAUAAAUAACCCUCCAAAUGUCAAGUAUAUUUCAUGAAUGCCCUCCUCGUUAACAUUGAUAGACAUCCAUCAAUUUAACAUCGAUGUUUAUACAUUUUAAAAUUGGAUAUUACCUUUUUACCCUCCUUUUGAGCUCUUUUUAUUAGAUUAGCUUAGCUAGGUGAAAAUAUUAGGAUGAGUUUCCUUUUGCACUCUUCUAAAAUUAAAAAGCAUCAUAGAUUCCUUGUAAAUUUUGUUAUAUGACAAUUAUGCUUUCAAAUAUAUAAUUUCUUACAAAUAUGUUCUCAAUGAAAAUAUAUGAAGAAACCCUCAGCUGUGAAGUCUAUUGCUUUAGCUGCUUUUAUUUUUCACUAAUUAGCUUAGAUAAAAAUACUAAUAAUUACAUUUGAUACAUUUAGCCGGUAGGGUUUUUUUGAAAGUUUCUUAUGUAUAGAGGGUUAUUUAUGAUAUUUCAAUGUUUUACGGGGCAUCUAUGUAAUUAUAUGCUUUUUGAAGGGCAUACAGGAAAUUUUCCCUUUUCUUAAAGUGUUGCCCUAUCAAAUGACGCGAAUGACAAUUUAUUGAAAAUACUACUGUCUGUAUAAAACUUAGCAUGCCACUUUUUAGAACAUUGAUUUUUGUUUGACAUUUUUUAUGAUUUUGCAUGAAAAUUCUAUUUACUUCUCUAUUUAAUAAGUGAGAGUAAACUGCUAAUUCUUAGUUUAGUAGCACAUGUGUGUAUAUGAGGUCCGUUAUUUGAAAUUAAUUAGUUCGAUUUGUCAGUUAUGAAUUGUUACUUUAGUUACUUAGCUUUGUUAGUGUCAUGUCCCGAACCCAAGGGCAUAAAAGACACCACAUAUCUGCAAUUAAUUACAAAUAUGCCAGGCUACAAAACAACUGGUAUUAAAUUUAAACUAUUUACAAAAGUCCAAAAUCCAUAAUUUUUGACUAAUUCCACCGAUCAUCUUCUGCUCAAACCUUAUAAACUUUCAAAAUACAGUAACUAAAUGUUCACUAUGAAUUCAAGAAGUCUAACUACAUUUAUAUAUACUAGUUAUCGUGCACGUACGAAGCACAUCACAUUAAAUUAAAUUAAAUUUAAAUUUAUAUUUUAAAUUUAAAUUGUUACUGGUGGUAUGUGUUAUCAUUUGAUUUUUUUUUUCUAACUUUAAUUUGUCUCCAAAUAAAUAUUAUACAUUUUAAUUUUUCAUAUGUGCUUCGUAACAUACAAAAUUUCUUUUAAUGUGCACCCGAAUUUUAAAGUUUGAAUUGAUUCAAAAUUUUAAAUUUAUGAAGAAAACUCAAAAUUUAAAGUUUAUUUUGAAUUCAUAAUUUGAAUAUAAGUAGUUAUUGGAGUUAUAGAUCUAUUUAUCAGCCAAUCUAUCUUUCAAGCUUAAUUUAUUUCCAAGUUAGUUAAUUGUUUUGAUUUGAAAGAUUCUGUUGAUAGACCCAAAAUUUAAGAUUUUAAAUUAAUUUCAAAUUUUGAAUUAAAACAUGGAUUCACGUUUGAAAUUAUGAACCAAACUAAAAAUCUAAAUUUGAUUUGAUAGGCUUAUUUUAUAUCAAUCUAUUUUUCAAAUCUAAUUUGUUUUUAGUUUAUUAAUUGAGAGAUAGUGGACACUGCGAAUAUUUUCUAUGUGUGUUUCGUAUGGAUUUUUCUUUUUCAAUGAGCAUGGAAUAUUCUUUUAUGGGCUGCGGGUGAAGAAUAUUUUAUAGUAGAUAUGCUCCGGUUGGUAGAAUUUGGAUAAGUAUUAUUUUUUUUUUCUGUUUUCGCAAAUAAAAUCCAAUAUAGUUCUUUUUUUUUUUCUAAUAUAUAUUGCAUAUUUUUGUAUGUUUUUUGAAUUCUGACGAACCCAAAAUUUAAUUAUGUGUUUAAACUAAAAGUAUCAAAAUUUUAGUUUACAUUUAAUUUAAAAUUUAAAAUUUAAUUUUGAUCCACUUUAAUUAAAUUUUUUUUAUUGUUCAUUCAAAUUUGAUAUCCAAAAUGAAAUUUAAUUAAUGAUCUAAACUCAAAUUUUAAUUUUAAUUUGAUUUAAAUUAUAUAAGAUAAAAAUUUAAAUAAUAUUUGAAAAUAAAUUUAUAUUUGAUUGUUGAUUGCAGUCAAUAAAAAAUUUAUAUAACAACUAAAUAUUUGUAGAUAGUGUUGAUAUAAUCUGAAAAUAUCAAAAAGAAAAGAUAUGAAAUGAUAUAAAAAUAUUUAAUAAAAAAUAAAAUGUUAUCCAUUAGAGAAAAAAGAGGAAUUUAAAGCUUGUUUCAUUACGUUAUUUAUUUUGCGUAACCAAAAAGAGAAACUAUAAAUCUUUUUCCGCCAAAAAGUGGGUCUGUCGAUAGACCCAAAUUCAAAAUACGUGCUUUUAUAUAUUGUAUAGAUAUAGAUAGGCCAAGAGUGUACUCUAUUUCUAAUAUUCACUUGUCCCAAUCAUCAACAAGCUAAUCAGGCAGUACCCGAGUAAGCAACCAUACACCACACUAGUAGGGUUAAACAUGCAAAAUAGAAAAAAUUCUAAAUAAUUAGUUAUAAAUUGUCGUACUAAAAUUUAAUAAUGAUGACUAAGUUUCAUAAAACUUUAUAAAUCUCAUUUAAAAAUUUUGAGUCUGUAACAAGCAUAUUUUACAAAUGAACUAUGAGAUAUAGAAAUUUAAGAAAAACAUUCUUAUUCCAGAAAAAUUAGAAUUGGAAAUAAAAGUCUCUAGUAACUAGCGAUUCGUUGGCUAAGGUCCUAAGCACAUAGUAGAGGCACCCGAAGGCGCGAUUACAAAAAGAAAGCACCCGAAGGUGUAUCUAAAUGGUAUCGGGAGGCGCAUCAUAAAAUUGCAUGUGAAAGUGCGCCACAAAAUUGUACUCGAAGGUGCUAUACAAAAUUGAAGCUAGCUUCUAUCACAAAAUUCAUAUCAACAUGGUCAACAUUAUUAUAGCAAAAUACCAAGUGACAUCACAAUUUUAAGAUCAUUUAGUCAACAUUUUAAAAAAACAAAUUAUUGUAUAUUGAAUUUUUAUCCAAUAAGCACAACUUCUUUAGUACUUGUUUUUCUAAAAUUGCACAACAGUCAAAUCAAAGCUUCUUAGAAAACCUUUUUUGUUUCAAUGGCUUGUAAUUUUAUAUAAGCAUGCUUAAUCCUUAUUUUGAAAACCAUACAAAAGAAUUAUUUUGAAAACCAUACAAAAGAAAUUUUCUUGUCAUAAAUCGUUUCUAUAAUUUUACCCAAAAUAAGCUAACGGGUGUUAGAUUGCUUAAAAUAAUCUGAGUAUUCUUCGAUCAAAUGCUAAAUAUCAAUUUUAAUCAAUGAACCCUUUUCAAAGACGAUGAAGGACGGUGAACGAGGUGUUGUCGACCACAAUCCAAAAAGUGUGUAGACAAAGAUCGAGUGUGGCGGCAACCAAGAAUGGCGUCCGAAGAUGAGGAGAAGCAAGAGGCUGAGCGUGCUUGCGUGCAUGAGAGAGAGAGAGAGAGAGAGAGAGAGAGAGAGAGAGGUGCGUGCGAGUGGGAGAGAGAGAAUCGGUUGGUGGGGGCGGGAGCGUACAGAUUAUAGAAAAGGAGAGAUUUCCUCUAUUAAUUAGGUUAAAGACCGAUGUGCACAUAAACCCCUAAGUUUAUAAAUAUACAAAAUAGUCCAAAUAAUUAAAUAAAAUGAAAAUAUGGGGUAUCACAGUUAGUAAGAAUUAAAUAUUUUUUAAUACAUAAAAUAUUUUCAAUAUUUUAAUAGCAGGACUUUAUAUGCGCCCGCAUACCCAUUUGCGCUAUACUAUGAGUAACUGCAUGAAUACCGCAUACCGCCUUUUGGAAUAUUGAUCAUUAGUAUGGGGAACUUGGAUAAUUUGGGUAUUGAGCAAUUUGGGUUAGUGACAAAGGCCCAACAAGUUGCUUAUACUAGGGGGUUAGUUGUUGAGUCAUUACAUAUGAUAUCAGAGUCACUUCUAUGCAAAAUAUUUUGUGGGGCUAGUGAUUGUACACCGAAGGUGGUAAUUAUAGGAGAAGGCGGGGAGGUGUGAGCAAGACACCUAGGACAAUGGCAAUAGUAUGGUAGAUUUCAUAAUCCCCUCCAAAACUCAUGUGAAUAUGUAUUAUGAGGAAACUGGAACAUGUAUGGGCCCGACAAGAAUAAAUUUCCAAAGCUUGGGAGUUUGUCGCACUCUUUGAAGUCCAUAUCAGAAAAAUGAUGGGUGAUUACUUGGGUAUAUCAUAAUAAGCACAAAAGUACGAGUAAUUUGGGCUUAAGCAUCUUGGCUGACCAGUUUUUUGCCCAACUAGUAUCUAGUACUCAUGAGCCAGUUGGGUUGAUGCUCAGUUGGUGUAGUAAAAAGAGAAGCGAUCUGACUUUGAUGUUGGGCGCUUCAAGGGAAGAGAGGCCCAUAUUCAUUUGGUUGGCUAUAGUGGAUGAAAUCAGAUUUUAAUACUGAUAGAUGAAAUGUGAAAUGUCUAAGCUCUAGUUGAACCAGAAAAAAGGAUAAUAGGCCAGGUUAAGUCGGUUAUAAGACUUCAUUGUUGCUGUUGUUGUUGGUUCCCUUGUCAAAUCUUCUCCUAGCACAACAAGAUACAUCAAUUGUAAAUUUACUAAUUAAAGUUUAAUCUUGAUAGAAUUUUUCUUGAAAUUGAAAGCUUGGCAGAUACUGUUAUGACCAUGUGUGAAUUUCAUAAACUUGCAUUCCAAGUACAUAUUUGAUUGUUUGUCAUAAUUAAAUAUUUUGUUGGUUUGCUCUAACCUGUAGGCUCCUUUUUCCAAAUGGUAUGCAUGCUUGGACAUGGGAGAAUGGCAACCAUGGUGAGGCUGCUUACAAUUGAAAAUUGUUCAGAUAUCACACCAGGUACCGUGAGUUUAUGGUAUAUGAUUUGGUUUUUGGUUCUUGUUUGCUAUUCAAUUCUUUGAUAAUCAUUAAAAAAAUUUGCAAAUUCUCCAGUUGUGCUGGUAGUUUAUACCGCUCUGGAGGCCAAGUUCUCAUAGAGUUGUCGAAAUACCAAAUUGCUAGUAAGCAUGAGAAAAUGUUAGAUAGUGUUAUCUUCCAAACCCAGCUGCUAUCAUUUUCACCAAAGGUCUAUUUUGUACUUGGAGAAAUUGAGAAUAUAAUUCUAUCUGGAAAUUGGUAGUUAUGAUCCAACCGCAGAUUGUAUGGAAAUAAAGAACACAACAUACUAAUUACCCAUCUUUAUACGAUAUAACAGCAUACAAUAAGUUGAGCAUCACUUCUUUUGGGGACUUAAUAUUCUCCUCUCUGAUCAAAUCUAAAUCUAAAUCUAAAUAGCACUAGGCAGACUUCUGGAGCUGGCACUGUAGCAUCCAUCUCUAGCCAACUAAACAUUUUGCAUCUUCUUCUCAUGUUGCUUUGUUUACACCACAGAAACCGAGAAAAGGCAAACUGAGCUAAGUGAAGUAUAGAGGAGAAGAGAGAGUUGGAAACCAAAAGUUCUCUCUUUUGUUUAAACUAAAGAAUCUAUCAAGCUUAGCCUACAUGUUUAAUCUCUAAAGUUGACAGAUCAGUGUGUUUUCCACUUUUCUGCUCCGAAAACGUAGUUAUUUAGUUUCCAUUAUUUUUGAAGUUACAAUCUAAACAAUAGUUGACCCUUGUUGCAAGUUUGUGGGCUAUUCUAUCAUGAAACUUUUCAUCAAUAGUUUAAUCAAUAGCUGACUUUGAUGUCAAAGCUCUUCCAUUUACCUUUCUCCAACUUAUGUGUAUUCUCCUUGAAGAAGUCUAUGUACCUUUCUUCUUGUUAUUCUGGUUGUUGUGUACAAAUAAAUUAGAUGUCCUCUAUUCCCCCUUCCUUUGUUAAUCAAUUUAAUAAUGGUUCUAUUAUGCUUGGUAAGUUGGUAUCUUUCUUCUGGUAUGAAAAAUAUCUAUGACACCCCAGGAUGAGAAUGAGAUUAUACUUGGAAAUAUAAGGGACCAUGGACUCUAUUAAUAAUAACUGGGUUUAAGCAUUUUAGGCUGGUGGCUUAGGCCCAACUAGUUAUUAUUGCUAGCGGGUCAAGUCGUUACAUUUGAUAUCAGAGCCGGUUCACAAAUCGGAAGUGUGAGGUGAGCCUCACAUCGCCUAGUGAUCUUGGGGUAUGUGUGCGAUUGAACUGACAAAUACUUCAAAGCCUAAACGGUGGGAGUCUGUAACACCCUAAUAGUCUCACAUUGAAUAGGAACAGGGUCGUGAUUUGGGAAUAUAAGGGGUCAUGUACUUUAGUAAUAAUAACUGGGCUUAAGCAUUUUGGGUCGGUGAUUUGGGCCCAAUGAAUUAUUAUUGCUAGUGAGUCGGGUCGUUAUAAUAUCCAUAACCAUCCGAUAUAUUACGAGAACAUUCGAAAUUUCAAGAGGUCAUGAUUUCCAUUCUUUGUAUCAUUUGUAUGUAAUUUGGUGCUUGCUGCAUAAAUUGCUAUGGAGGAGAGCAUAACAUUGCAAUAUUCAUUCCUUAAGCAAGUACACAUACCAUGGUGGGAACAUGCUGGUACAUGCAGACACAGGCUCCUUACAGGGUCCGUGGAGAUUGUGUAUUUGGCACUAUUUGCACCGCAGCACAUACAGUAUCAUGGCAUGUGGAACAAUGAGUAUAACACUUUCCAUGUUUACCUAAACUUUCGUAGAAGAAAUGACUCGUGAAAAGAUUGCUGCCCAGAUCAUCCACAAGGAAUUCCUUGAAGCAGAUGAUGCAAAUUUACUCGAGGAAGAAGGUAAGUUAUUAUCCUUUUUUGAAAUAAUCAUUUACUAGAAUCAUACUAGUUUGAUCUAAAUAUUUCAAUGAUCUUUUCAUUUUUCCCUGUUAAGGUACCUCCUCUGUGUCUCCCUCGAUGUUUUGUUAACACUCUCUUUUCUUGCAUUAUUCUCUGUUAUCUAGUGGCAUCAUCUUUUUUCGCACGCAUAGUUUCUGUGACUCAGUAAGUAAAUUGCUGUGUUUCAGGCUGAUAUUCAAACUGCAUAUUCAAGUUGUAAACUGUUUUAUUAACUUUCUUAUGUUCUAGUUGUCUGAGCUAUCCAAGUAAAAUUUCUAAUCUUGUUUUGAUUUGAGGCUGUACUUGAGAUAGCCUUCUCUCUGUCUUCAGUAGUAUGGGUUUGCUAGGGCAGACACAAAGCUGAGAGGACCGUUAAAGAAUUCCCACAGUUACUAUAUCAUCAUCACCAUUCACACCUACGCUUAAGCUUCUAUAACUUGGGUUUGUGGGAGUGUAACUCAACUUUGGGAAUUCUACGCAAAACAUUUGUUACUGUUUUACAGCUUUUGUUGAUUGUAAAUCAACUUUAGAAAUUUCUGAAUUAAACGCAAAAUUGUAGAAGCACACUUUGAAGUUUUAAAGAGACUUAGAUGGAAACUAAAAUUACUGGAAAUUCUUAUAUAUUUUAAUGUACUGUUUUGGACCUGGUUGAUGUCUUUGAGGUAUCUAAUCUUGUAGCGCUGAAUUUUGCACGGUCAACUUUCUUGCAUCUUUACUCUUUUGAUAAGCUGGGAAGUGUAGUAAUACUGCAACAGCUAAUCCUGGAUUCUCGCAACUUUGAAACGGACUCCUAUUUAACUGUAAAUUAUGUUUAAAACUUUUGCAGUUAUACAUAUGAUAAAUGAUAGAACUCGUACAACUAAGAUAUCAAAUGGAGAUAGUUGUGCUGCUAAAUAUCAGCUUUGAAGUUGAAUUAUUUCUGAAGAGAAGAAUCUUGACAGUUGUUAUGCUAAUUUUUCCUGCAAAUAUAUGUUCAGAGUAAUUGUAACACUUGUUAGUCUGCAAUUAAUGCUAUAUUUCACUUAAUAUAUGUUUAUCCUGGUAAGGCAGGAUCUGAUCUUUAUCUACACUUUUCUUUCGCUCUUUUCAGAUAUGCAUGUAUUUGAUUGUAGGCCAUUGACAGAUCCGCUGCACCUGGUAAUUACAAACAAACAAUGCUAUGUGAUUUGAAUAGUAGUUGGAAGUAUAUGCAACCAUACAUACUGCAGCCAAGCAUACCUUUUUUAUGGUUUCAUAAAGUGUACCUUUUCUAAUGGUUUUAUAAUUCUUUAGUCUCAUUAUCUUAGUUGACUUUCUGUUGCAUUGGAAGACUAUCACUUAUUUUAAUGUGCUCUACUUUGUCUACAUGCUAAUGGUUUUCUUUUACCCGUACCUUUACUUUUUUUUUUCGCAUUCCUCAAGGCUAAAAUUCUCAUUCUCGCUCCCAGUCAAGAUUGAGUGUGAAGUUCCUAUUUAGUUUAUAUUGAUGAAUUAUUUGUGUAUUUCUUUUGAAAAUAAAUCACCCACAGUCCUGACAAAGUUUCAAAUGGAAGGGUUGUUUCUUUUGGGGUAGAGGUGGGGUUGGGUUUAGAGCAGAGAGUAGUCAGGAGCAUAUAAAACUGAUGUCAUGGCUAAUAUUUGUAUAUUUAUCGUGAAACAACCGUUGUACUCUAAGAGCUUAAGCUCAGAGAACGGUGUUUUUAUAUUUUUAUAUUUAACACUCCCCCUCACGUCUCGGCUCGAGACUUUUUGUAGGCCCAUGACUUGGACUUGAAUUAAAUGGGAGGAAUUAAUAAUGCUAGGAGCCUAACGUGAUUCGAAUUCAGGACCUUCUGCUCUGAUACCAUGUGAAACGGCCGUUGUACUCUAAAAGCUUAAGCUUAUAGAAAAGGGUGUUUUUAAAUUUUUAUAUUUAACAACGUUGCCUGCACUGAAGAGCAUAAUGAUUGAAUUUUUCAUAGAUUUGACACUGGGUGCCAGACCGUGGAAUAUAUGGUUGUUGGUUUGAUUGAGUAUUAUUAGGUUGAGAAUGUAGGUAGUUUUCAUGAGGUCCACGACCAGGGUAUUGAUUGUCUACCACGUUGUCCUCGACUUCCGCUAUAUCUACCCCCAUGAUCGCCAUGAGCACCUCGCCCACGAUUUGCAUAAAGUGCUUCUGCAUCAAUGGUGGGAGUAGCAGAUGGUGUUGUCAAGCUGGCACGACGUUGAACUUCUAUUUCUUUUUGCAUUAAAAGUGUGCGAAGUUCUUCGAAGGUAGGCCUUGUCCUAUGUGUAUUUAGCGGACUGACAAAACCUCUAUAUUCUUCGAACAAUCCCAGAAGAACAGUCAUGACCAAAUUAUGAUCCGUCUCGGUCUUGCUAAUCGCCUGAAGAGCAUCCUUGAUCAACUUAAUUUUUUGCAUAUAUUCACUCAUGCCUAUUGAUCCUUUCGUAAUACUUCGUAAUUCGGACUUUAUAGAAAAAGCUGUAGAAGUAGUUUUGUCAAGAAAAUAUGCUUCAAUAAUUUUUCAUGCAUCACGAGCUGUUUUAGGUGAACUAGAUAUAACCAUCUAUAAUAUGCUAAGAGAUAGAGUAGUAUAAUCGAGGAAAGAAUGGUGGUGUCUACUUUCUUUCAAACUAAAUAAUUUGGAUUUACAACUAUCUUUUUGUCAGUAGUGUCAAUUGUUGGAGGAAUAAUACUUGAUCCAUCAACAAGUGUAGUCACACCAAAACUCUCUAAAACAUUUAGAAACACUUGCUUCCACACGAGAUAUGUAGAAGUAGUGAGUCCUAAAGGUAUGAGGGUUUUAAUGUUAACAAUCGGUAAAGACAAUAUAGAAGAAGACAUGUUUGCCAUCGAGAAAAGAAAUUUCCACUAUAAAAAGAGAAGGAAAAAUGUCAAAGAUUACCAACUGAGAAUUUUUGAUGAGAAAGAGAAGGACCAAAGUCACCAAACACCACUAAGGGCAUGUUUGGUUCACCUAUUUUAGACUAUGGAAUCGGAAUGGAAUUCAUUGAUUCCGAUAGUUGCCGUUUGUUUUAUAGGAAUCAGAUUCCGAUUCCCAUUCCACUCCGGAAUGGGAAUGGCCAAAUUCAUUUAUGACCCAAUCCGGCUUUGAAUUCUGGAAUGGCUCAUUCCAAAGUAAACUAUUCAAAAUCCUCUUUCAUCAACACCUACCUCCUCUCCCUUCAUCACUUUCCUCUCUCUUAAUCAAAACUCUCUAUCAAAAAUUUUAAAUUUUCAUUUUGAUUUCCAUUCCAAUAAUGAACCAAACAUUUUUGGAUGAUUCGUCAUUCCAUUUCCCAUUCCAAAGCAAUCCAAUUCCAUUUCCCAUUCCUAUUCCAAUCAUGAACCAAACAUGCCCUAAGUGAAAAAAAAACAAGCGGCAUGAGCAGCACAACACAGAAAAUAUCAGCAAUAACAGGAUAGGCCAAGCGAUACCACGUGCGACACUAGAGGAGCAAAGAGGGACCAUAGAGAGGCUGAAAUUACUAUAGCAUUAUGUCACGGACUUAGCGUUUUUGUUCGCAAAGCCCGUGCGGCGCCCACCUUUCCUGCUCGAAGAUGGACAAGCCUUUGUCCCUGUUGCUAGCCCGGACCUUCGCGUCCUACGACUAAGUAUGCAAAGGGAAAUGACAAAGAGAAAGAGACAGAGGUUCUCUCAAAAAACUAAGUACUACACUACUUAGAAAUGAGAAUUACAACCUACAAACAGCAUACAAACACACUCUCUCUUGUGUGUCAUGGCCUUAGCCAACCCCACUAUUUAUAGGCCCAAAGGUGCCUUUUCAACUCACCCACUACCACAUAACUCACCCAUUAUUACAUACAUAAUGAGCCUACAUAAUGAGCCCUCAUAAAUGCCAAAAGCUCAAGAGUCACCCAUAACUCCCAUGAGUUUCAUGACCCUUGAGUUUCCCACAGCGGGUUGGGUUUGGGUCUACUUGCCAACCCGAUUCGACCCGUUUUCAACCCGAACUCGCUAAGCAGAUUUGGGCCAGGGACCGGGCUGCAUAGAAAUUUUUCUAAGUCCCUGACACCCUCCUCCACCUAAUGCGCAGGCGUCCUCGUCGCGCGCUGCUUCUGGAACUCGUCGAUGAGCGCUUGGUACUGCCAAAGUGUGUCCGCCUUCUCCCAACUCGCCUCGCCGAAUGGGAGAUUCUUCCACUUCACCAAGUACUCAGGAUUCGGCACGACCCCACGUCGCCGAAUGAGUCGAGUGUCCAGGAUGGACUCCGCUUCUUUGUCGAACGAAGUCACCAUGGUCGGAGGCGCUCGCUGCGACACUCCUCUGCUCGGAUCCUCCGCGUCCUCGUUGUACAGCUUCAACCUGCUGACAUGAAAAACAGGGUGGAUCCUGAGGUUUGCGGGCAGCUGCAGCUUGUAGGCCCCCUUGCCCACACGCUUGACGACGGUAUAUGGGCCUUCGUACUUGCGCAGCAGUCCCUUGUGCACCUUCCGCAAGGCUUUGAACUGCUGCGGAUGAAGCUUGACCAUCACGCGGUCGCCCUCGGCAAACUCCCGAGGCUGUCGCUUUUCGUCAGCCCACUUCUUCAUCCGUCGUGCUGCUUUCUCCAAGUUCGCCCUUGCAAUUUCACCCUUUUCCUGCAAGUUAGUGGUAAACUGAAGAGCAACUGGGCUGCGGAACUGCUCUCCCGCAGCAGCCGUGUGAGGGGCAAGUGGUUGUCGCCCGAUCGCCAACUCGAAAGGGCUGCAGCCUGUAGACUCGCUGCGCCGCAAAUUGUAAGCAAACUGGGCGACAUCGAGAUGAUGCACCCAAUCCUUCUGAUUGGCACUCACAUAGUGCCGCAAAUACUCCUCCAACAGAGCGUUCACCCGCUCAGUUUGCCCGUCGGUCUGUGGAUGCCAACUGGUGGAGAAGAGCAACUCCGACCCCAAGAUUUUGAACACCUCGGUCCAAAACUUGCCAGUGAACCUGGGGUCGCGGUCGCUCACGAUGCUCGUGGGGAUCCCCCAAAGCUUGACGAUGUGGCUGACGAAGAGGCGUGCCGCUUCUUCAGCCGUGCAAUCGGUCGGCGCAGCAAUGAAGGUCCCGUACUUGGAAAAACGAUCAACCACCACCAGAAUGGACCCAAGCACCCCCACCUUUGGUAAGGCGGAGAUGAAGUCCAUCGAAAUGCUCUCCCACGGACGGCUAGGCACAGGUAAAGGCUCGAGGAGUCCGCCAGGUCGCUGGUGCUCAACUUUGUCUUGUUGACACACCAAGCAGGUUCGCACGUAGGCCUCCACGUCUUCGUGCAUCCGCGGCCAAAAGUAGGCGGCCUCGAGCAACGCCAGGGUUCGCUUCUGACCUGGGUGGCCCGCCCACUUGGAGUCAUGGCACUCCUUGAUGAGCUCGCGGCGAAGGUUGCCCCACUUGGGCACGUACACCCGUCGCCCCUUUGUGAGGAGCAGCCCGUCGCUCAGCCAAAACCUUCGCGUUUUGCCCUCCUUGACAAGCUGCACCAGAUUUUGAGCGAUAGGGUCCUCAUUGGUUCCUGAACGAAGUCGAUCGCGGAGCGUCCCUUGAAGCUGCCACACGGCUGCAAGCUCAGCCUUGCGGCUGAGAGCAUCAGCCACGCGGUUUUCCUUCCCGGGCUUGUAUUGCAUCUCCAUGUCGAACUCCGCCAAGAAGUCUUGCCACCUCGCCUGCUUAGGGGACAGCUUCUUUUGGGAUUGGAAGUAGCUUGUGGCAACGUUGUCGGUGCGCACCACAAACUUGCUCCCAAGCAAAUAGUGCCGCCAGGUUCGCAAGCAAUGCACCACAGCGGUCAUUUCCUUCUCUUGGACGGUGUAACGCCGCUCGGUGUCGUUGAGCUUGCGGCUCUCAUAGGCGAUGGGGUGCCCAUCCUGCACGAGGACACCGCCAAUGGCAAAGUCAGAGGCAUCAGUAUGUACCUCAAAGGUGCGACUGCAGUCGGGUAGUCGCAGCACUGGAUCCUCCGUCACCGCUCGCUUUAGGUCCUCGAAUGCCUCCGCACAUUGAGAGGUCCAAACCCACGAGUGGUUUUUCUUCAGCAGAUCCGUCAACGGGGCUGCUCUCGCAGAGUAGCCAGCAAUGAAUCGGCGGUAGUAGUUAACGAGUCCAAGGAAAGACCGCAACUCGGACACCGUCGUUGGGGUCUCCCAUUCGCAGAUGGCUCGCACCUUCCGCUGGUCCAUGCGAAUCAGGCCCUGGCCUAUCCAGUGGCCAAGGAAGUGCACCUCUUCCUUCGCGAAUAUGCACUUCUCCUUCUUGACGAACAGCUGGUUCUCCCGCAGCACUUGGAAGACGGUUCGCAAGUGCUCGAUGUGCUCCUCCAAGGUGUUGCUAUAUACCACGAUGUCGUCGAGGUACACCACCACAAAGCGAUCGAGAUAGGGAUGGAACAGCUUGUUCAUAAGUGUGCAGAAGGUUGCUGGCGCGUUCGUCAAGCCGAACGGCAUGACAAGGAACUCAUAGGCCCCGUACCUCGUCACGCACGUGGUCUUCUCCUCGUCUCCUUCUGCAAUCCGCACUUGAUAAUACCCAGAGCGAAGGUCGAGUUUGGUGAAGUACUUCGCUCCGCCCAAUUGGUCGAAGAGAUCUGCAACCAAAGGAAUUGGGUAUUUGUUUUUGACCGUUACCUUGUUGAGCGCUCUGUAAUCGAUACAAAGCCGCAGGCUUCCGUCGCUCUUGCGCUGGAACAAAACUGGUGCUCCAUAGGGUGCCUUUGACGGUCGGAUGAAGCCCGCAUCGAGGAGCUCCUUCAACUGCUUUUGCAGCUCCUCGAGCUCUGGCGGGGCCAUUCUAUAUGGCGCUUUCGCUGGCGGUUUGGCUCCUGGCUCGAGCUCAAUGGCAUGAUCCACCUCCCGUCUAGGUGGAAGUUGCUUCGGCAGUUCCUUUGGCAUGACAUCCUGGAAAUCUGCCAAGACCGCCCCAAUCUCUGCAGGAAGGCCCUCCUCGUCGAGGCCCUCGUCGCUCACCUCGCGGAUCGCCGCAAGGUAAGUCAUCUCACCACGGUUCACACCCCUUCGCAACUGCAAUGCAGAGAGGGUUUGGGUGCUUACCGUUUUCUCCUGGCUUGCUAGGACCAUGCAUGGGGCCGCCUCGUCCAUGAUGCUCAAGGCCCCAAGGUGUGGCAUCGGAACCGCCUUCGACGAAGCCAAGAAGUCCAUACCUAGUAUGACUUGGAAGUCGUCGAUGGGUGCAGCGGUGAAGUUUGCGGUGCCUCUCCAAGGUCCCACCGCAAUGGCCACGCCUUUGGCCACGCCCGCAACAGGUUGCGCCUCAGAGUUGACGGCCUUGAUCCUGCUAGCAUCCUUCUCAAGGGGAAGGCCUAUCCGUUUGGCCUCCGCUUCGGCAACAAAGUUGUGAGUGGCUCCCGUGUCCACCAAUGCUCGUGUGGCCCUGCCGUUAAGGGUCACAUCGAUGUACAGAAGCUCCUUGUUGAGGGGCUUGCUGCUGCUUGCCAGCCCCUGAACCGCGUUGACGAGCCUAAGCGCGCCCAUCUUCGUCGGUUCUGCACUGCCCUCGCCCUGCUCGGUCUGGACAGCAUUCAGCUUCUUCUUGUUUGGGCAGUCCCUCGCCCAAUGGUUCUCGCCGCAGACGUAGCACGUCAAUUUCUUUGGCGGCGGCACAGGACCCCUCUCGCGGCCCCUGCGCUCCUUCUGGUCACGACGGUCUCCUCCACCUUUAGCCUUGCUCGCUUUGGGCGUCUUGCUGCGAGUUGAAUCCGCCCGCUCGUACUCGGGCAGUUUUUCCGCCAAGGCAAUUGCGGAGGCAACGUCCUUGACGUCGCGUCCCACAAGCUCCUUGUUCGCCCAAGGUUGGAGUCCGUCGAGGAAGAAGAAUAAGCGAUCUUCCUCCGCCAUGUUGGUGAUGGACAGCAUCAACUUGGAGUAUUCCUUGACAUACUCCUUGAGCGUCCCGGUGUGUUUGAGCCGUCGAAGUUGCUUCCUCGCAAGGUACUCGACGUGCUCGGGGUAGAACUGCGCCUUGAGCUCGCGCACGAAGUCCUCCCACGUCUUCAAGUUGCAUUGGCCCUUCUCGGCUUCUGCAGAACGCCGACGCCACCACAGCAUCGCGUCAUCAGCAAGGUACAUGGAUGCAGCCUGGACUUUCUCAUCUUCGUCGUCCAGCCGCAACGCCUUGAAGUAGCGCUCCAUGUGCCACAGAAAGUUGUCGAUCUCCUUCUCGUCGCGGGUUCCCCUGAAAUUUUGAGGCUCAGGGAUACGUACCUUCGAAGCGGACUCUCGUUGGGGUUCGUGGCCACGCGCCACCGCUUUCUCAAGGAUCGUUACUCUUGUCUUGAGGUCCUCGACCUCGUCGACUCGAGCAACAAGCUCCUCGAUCAGUUUCUUUCGCUCCUCGUCACGAUUCUUCAUGUUGGCUUGGAGCUUUUCGAGAUCGCUUCGAAAUGUCUCCAUGGCUGUAGCGACACUUUCCUCCAUGCUGUGGACAUCUUCGUUGAAUGAGUUAAAGGUAUCCGCCAUCUCGGUGUACCUUUCACCCAUUUUCGCGAUGAUGUCCUCCAACAGCACAAGGCGGUCCUCCAACGACGCCGAAUCCCUCGUGAUUCGCUGAGGGUCUUUGCUCUUGCUUCGCUUGGAGGGCUGCUUUGGAGGGUCGCCCCCAACGUCGACGAUUCCCGCAUCGGAUGACGACAUGGUUCCUCGCUCGAACCGGCUCUGAUACCAACUGUCACGGACUUAGCGUUUUCGUUCGCAAAGCCCGUGCGGCGCCCACCUUUCCUGCUCGAAGAUGGACAAGCCUUUGUCCCUAUUGCUAGCCCGGACCUUCGCGUCCUACGACUAAGUAUGCAAAGGGAAAUGACAAAGAGAAAGAGGCAGAGGUUCUCUCAAAAAAACUAAGUACUACACUACUUAGAAAUGAGAAUUACAACCUACAAACAGCAUACAAACACACUCUCUCUUGUGUGUCAUGGCCUUAGCCAACCCCACUAUUUAUAGGCCCAAAGGUGCCUUUUCAACUCACCCACUACCACAUAACUCACCCAUUAUUACAUACAUAAUGAGCCUACAUAAUGAGCCCUCAUAAAUGCCAAAAGCUCAAGAGUCACCCAUAACUCCCAUGAGUUUCAUGACCCUUGAGUUUCCCACAGCGGGUUGGGUUUGGGUCUACUUGCCAACCCGAUUCGACCCGUUUUCAACCCGAACUCGCUAAGCAGAUUUGGGCCAGGGACCGGGCUGCAUAGGAAUUUUUCUAAGUCCCUGACAAUUAGCACUUAUAUUGUAGCAAUACUGUAGCGCUGGAUCGCUGAUGAGAUCCAGCGAGGUAGAUUAUUAUGAGAGAAAACGCCGAUGAGAUCUGGUGAGGGAGAAGGGCGGCACUAGAUCGCUAUACCCUAGAAUUAGGGUUUGACUCUGAUUGCAUGAAAGAAGGACAAAAGAGCAUAGCCCUCUAGGAUUGUAUUGAUGAUAAUAAAUAGUGUACAAAUCAACCUAUUAUAGUAAUAUUGCAACUAGAGAUACCAUAUAGUCCUACGCUAUAUAAGGCAACAAAUAAUAUAAUACUAAAUAUAUCCUAACAUACUAAAUUAUAUCGUAACAUUUAUUCCCUGUUGUUUUUGUCAAAAAUGUGAAGACGUCCUAUGAUCUUGUUACUUUAUCAAGCUGCCUUUUCAUUUGUUGUUUCAUUUUAAAGUUUCAUUGGAAAUUAUUGUUUUGACUUGAUAAUUUUUCUCAACUGGUUAUUCACAUCUAUCUGAAUUUAUUUUCAAUUUUGAUUUCUUUUUCAAUUUUGGGCUUUCUAACAUUGAUAUUUCUAACAUUGAUAUGUUUCCUGAAGGUACGCUGUAAUGCUUGUAAGAAGCCAAUCAAAGAAAGUCAAUAUGCAGCUCAUGCAGGUACACUGAUACUUCUAUGCAAAAAUAAUUCAAGGUUAUUGACUUUGUUAAUACUUAUAAGAGAAUAUUUACAUUUUCUGUCUUCUCGAAACUUUUAAGCUUUGUUUUGGUUCUUCCCUUGUGAACGCCAAAGCUGAAUAUAUACAUUUUUUUUGUCCUGCUUCCUUUAUUCUCCAAUUUUCUUUGGAGGACCUGUUGCUUCAUUCUUUUGAGGUGAAGUUUGUAUACACAUUGUAUGUUUUUCUUUCUUUGGGGUUGCCCACCUUGCUUCAGGGCAAAUUAACUCUACUCUAAAUAGAAUAAGUUCACCUUCAAUGUAUUUCUAGAGAUUGUGGCCAUCUUUUACCUGGUAACAAAGUUCCUUUUGUUGCUCAUCCCUAUUAUGUUAUUUAGUUAGAAAUUUCCUUGUACAGAAAUAUGAUAAACAAUCAGCUUUUGUUGUUGCAUUCCUUGUAAUGCCAAUUUAAUUGCUCUUUUGGCAACCUUGUGCACCAUUAUUUGUAAAGCUUCACCUAGUUUAGUGUUGAUUUCUGCAGAGCGUUGUAGGUCAUUUAGCUCAAAUAGAGAUUCUGUCGUGGAACUUGAUGGUGAUUCUGGUCAUAAAAAGCCUCUGAGGAAGGGAAGAAAAAUAUCACAGUCGUCUAACGGCAGUAUCCUUUCAUCUAGUAUGUUGAUUUUCAAUGCAUAAGCAAGUGUUUUAUUCACAUUUAUCUUUCAAAAACUACAAUCACCUAGUUUACCUAUAGUUGUGAUUUAAUGAUGAAAAGAGCUUUUGUUCGACUUGCUGCCUGCAUCGCUUAAAAUGAAGGAGUUUGAAUUUCAUGUGAAUAACUUACUGUUGAGAAUGAGUUUGCGCAACUUUACAUGUUAUGACAACAAUUUGUAGUUUUCGUAUUGGAUAAGUUGUUACGCAUAUUUUGAUUGAGAUGGCCAAAUACAAUUUUAUCUAUUAAUAUGUUGGAGAAGAGAGGUUUAAUGAAAAAAGUAGGAGCAGAAUGCUUUUUGUUGACCACUUCCUCAUUGUUAUUGAACAAGAAGAUUGAGUGAAUUCAUGUUGACAUUUCAUUGAGAACAUGCAGGACUUGCAAGUUAGUGUCUGCAUCCCUUGUUUCUCAUGCUGUUCAGUUGCUGAGCGAGUGAGUGGUACAAUAGACACAUGAAUUCUUGGUUUCAUGCAUUGAAAAGUUAUAGCACUUAAACUUUGUGAACUUGACUUUAAACUUUAUUUGCACUUUGAACCUUUUAAAACUUUAAUAAUUAAAAGCCUCAGUACAUAACACUCCAAGUGUGAGAUGUUCACAUAAGCAUGCAACUUAAAAGAGGAACAUGAUGUCAUGUCUUGUCCUGUCCGAGUGUCCAAAAGCACUCAUGCUUUACAAGUCCCAAUAGGUGUUUGUGCAGUAAUGUGAUAUGCACAGUAAUAUUGUUACUAGCUGCUGGCAAUUAUCAAGUCUCUAAAUACUGGUUAUGUUUACGAAGUCUUAGAUUUCUUAGGUCAAAAGCUCACUUUUGAGACUCUGAGAUUCCAUUCAUUAUAAGGACAAUACCUCUAAAAAGUAGUGUGUGAAAGUUGUCAUAGUAACAUGCCUGUGGACUAUCUCAUUGAUCUUUUGUCUUCUGUUUUGGUAGGUUAUUUUUGACUUGUUUAUUCAAGAGCAACCGAUCCCCAGGAACUUGGAUGAUAGGGAGAAUUACAAAGAAGUUAAUAAAAUCGUAAAUGUCAGAAAAUGAAAGCAAAACAACUAAUUAAGUUAAUCAGGUGAAAGAAAACUUAUAUUAUAAUGAUAUUUAUGCAUUAUUUUAAUGUAUUCUUAUUGAUUUUUGAGUAUCAAAUAUAAAUAUGGAAGGGACUUUUUGAUGUUGUUUUGUAUUGUAGGCAUUACUUUGUAUGACACUAAAGGCUAUUGAUAUGUGCUCUACUCUAUCUCAAUCCUUAUUUGAAAUUUAUAGCUUCUUUAUUAUGAACUAAAAAAGUGAACUGAACCCGGAUAAUACUAUAUUGUUUGUGCUUUAACAUCCUCAUAGCUCAUCAUGUUUUUGAUAUUUUUAUAGAAGUGAUGGUAAUGAAGGUUGUGUGAUGUUACUAUGCUAGCCAAACUACACAUAUUGAACCUCUCAAUUAAAUCUUCAAUGAUAUUUUAAUUGCCAUACUUGAAUAGGUUAACACAAGGGGCCUUUAACUAAAUGUGUAGAUUCUUUUCUUUAGUUCUAAUCAUCUUUUUUCUCCACGAAGGUUAUGUUGAUUGUUCUUUUGGUUGUUAAACAUGGUUGAUACUUUCACAUAAGUCCAGAGAAGAGAUGAAUGAGUGUUACUUCUCAGUAUUUUUCAUUUCUUACAUGCUAUGUUGUCCUAAAACUGGUGGUAGGUUGGUUUGGUUGUGCCAUGAUUAGCAAAUUUAAAAUAUUAUUAUUCAGCCAGCUCUGUUUUUAGUUUCAUUAACUUUAUUUAGAUCAAAGAUUACAUGUAGAUGAAAAACAAAAAUCUGAGUCAAUGAAUAGGAAUGACGGUGGUGGUUCACAAUCGAAUUUCGAAAAUCAGAGCACCCUUCAUUCUACACAUUCAGGGGAGGCCCCACGUAAGUCCUAUAAGUUUUUCUAUUAAUUCAUUAUUUACCCUUGUAGGUUCCAACCACCAAAAUACUAUAGAAAUUUGUCUGAUUUUUAUGUUUUAAAUUCUUUUUCUACUUAAUACUUCCACAAACUUCGUGGUCGCUGUUCUGGCUGUUUUGAGUUCAUGGUUCAGUAAUUGUGAGUAAAAGCUGAAAUAUUGGGAAAUAUAGUGUAUUAUCGCUUUCAUAUUCAGGAGUCACAUACUUGUAUCAAUUUUAAUGUGACUAGCAAUGAAAUAAUGCUUGCAAGGAAAGGAAUAACACUGAUUGAUGCAUUAGAAUGUGUACAAUUUGAGAGAUAUUUUUAACUGCCGAUGAGUUUGACCCCUAACUGUGACUGGUCUUAAAAUUUAUGUAAAAAUAUCCUUCUAACAUGAUGCUUGUGCUUAGUAGUAACAUUUCCACUUUAUACUUUGUAAUGGUCAAGAGGGAGUUGAGGGAUUAGGGCAAGUGAAGAAAAGUCAAAAGGAGAGAACGAAAGAGAUCUGGAAUCCAGCGAAUAAACAGUAGAAGUAGUAGUAGUAGUUGGGAGUUAGCGGGUCGGGUUGUCGGGAUUCCAUUCGGGCACCAUCCGACAAAGAGGGUAACCCACUAAGCCUUCCAUUCUUGACGGUUGCUCAGUGGGCCGUCCACUCGAAGUCCAGAGGGCGGCAUACGGUCCAGGCCUUUGCAGAUUGGAAGCCCAGAUGGCCCAUCCGAGAAAUUACAUUUUCUUAUUAGUAUUCAGCUUAUAUGGGAAUUACAGAUUAGUCCUUAUGUAGUAGUUAUAAAUAGCUUGAGGAGUCAAGUGUAAGGGGGUAAUGAAUGAAUUGAAUUGUCUUCUUCUUCCUCAAUCUUCUAUCUUCUUCUCUUCUCUUCUCCUCUCAUCUCUCUCCUUCCUCUUCCCUAGCCCUUCACUCUGAUCUUCUUGUUCUUUAAUCGAGCUUCCAUCAUCUCUAUCUCACCGAUCCUCAGAUCCUUCUCAUCAUCGGAUCUGUGAGAUAGAUCAGGUUGUAACAACUUGGUAUCAGAGCAGCAUCGGUCCCAGGGAAGGUAGUAGUUCCAAGUAAUACCAGGAUCGAGAGAUCCGAGGAAUUACACAGGAACGAUCAACCCACAUCUCGGAUUCCAACUACGGUUGUUGAAUCUAGGAUACAAGGGUUGGCUACCAAGGAGGGAAGGGAGAGAUACCAUUGCCUCAGCGAACAUCAUAGGCGAGGAGAGAAGUGAGGCAAGCACCGAUCAAGAUUGUCGACUGGGGGAAUCAUUGGGUCCAACCGAGGCAAUCGCUUCAAAUACAUCAGUAAGGCAUCCAUGGCGGAGGGCACCAGAUUCAAAUUGCUCGAUGAGCACGUCCACGCCUUAGAGCAGAAGCUGCAGGAGAUGGCAACGGGGAAUGAUCGGAGAUUCGAGGAGCUGCAUCAAAGAAUUGGGGCUAUGCAAGCCGAGGAGCAGAGCCACUAUGAAUUCCUGCGGAGGGAGGCCGCAAAUUCAACCAAGAGAUGGGAACAACUCAUGGAUCUACUCACCAACCAGCAACAGAGCUCUACAACCAAGGGGAUGACCACCACAAUCACCCAAGAAGAUCGAGGUAUACUGCCCACACCUCCGAUCCCUUUACUCAGAGAUGAUAGCUCUGCAAUUCAAUUCUAUACUAAGCACCACAAUUCAUUACCCACACCUCGAUUAGAUUUUCCCAAUUUUAGUGGAGAUAAUCCUCGAAAUUGGAUAAGACGUUGUGAGAAGUAUUUUGAGAUUCAUGGGAUUACGGAGUCACAUAGAUUAGAAAUAGCAGCCAUGUAUUUGGAACCACGAGCAGACAUUUGGUUCCACGGGUAUUUAGCAGAGAAGGGAGAAGUAAGUUGGGACACCUUCGCCCUCGACCUGUGUAAACGUUUUGAUUCCAAUGGGUUGAGAGAUGUAGUAGAAGAAUUUAAUAAACUGGUGCAACAUGGAACUGUGGAGGAAUACCAAGAACAGUUCGAAGAGCUAGGAUUCAGAUUAUUGACCACUAAGUCCCAAUUUGCCCCAGAUUAUUUUUUAUCCAGCUUCUUGAGUGGACUCAAAGAGGAGAUCAGGGCCUCUGUUAAGAUGUUCAAGCCUAGCACCUUGGAACAAGCCUACGAGCAGGCUCGAUUGCAAGAGCAGAGCAUAGCAGCUAUGAUGAGGAAGAGCAGGAUGCUACUGAGGAACCAAGGAAGCACCCCAAUCAGUAGCUACAAGGGCAACAGUUCAGUUACAACCAACAGAGCUAGUGAAGCUCCCAAGAACUAUGCCAGCAAAUUCAACACUGAGAAGGCAUUUCCGAAUAGGCAACUUAUAGAACAAAGAAGGGCAGCAGGGUUGUGCUUUAAGUGCGGAGAUAAGUACUCACCAGGACAUCAAUGCAAGACUCAAAGCAUCAACACUGUGACGGCUACCCCAGAAGUAACUGAAGUUUAUGAUGAAGUCAGCCUCCGAGAACUAGCAUAGCAAGAGGAAUUAGAGGUGGAUGAAGAGAAGGAGGAGAUGGGGCUAAACUACGUGAUUCAAUACAAGAAAGGGAGGGAGAAUAAGGUGGCGGAUGCCCUGUCACGCCGGGGGUUGGAGGAAGGGAGCAACCAAGCCAUUUCAGUAGUUACCCCAACCUGGAUUGUUGAGGUAAUUAAGAGUUAUUGUGAAGAUGAAGACUGCCAGAGAUUGAUAGCCCAGUUGACGUUGCAACCUGAAUCUCAAGUGAAUUACUCUUACAACCAAGAAUUGCUACGCUAUAAAGGAAGGCUAUACAUUGGAUCAGGAGAAGGGGUCAGGCAGAAGGUACUUCAGCAGAUGCAUGCCUCUGCCUUAGGAGGCCACUCGGGGCAGCAGCAUACCUAUCGAAGGAUUAAGCAAGUAUUCUUUUGGCCGAGACUCAAGAAAGAUGUCGAAGAGAUGGUAAAGAAUUGUACAGUGUGCAUACAGAAUAAGUCCGACAAUCAGCCCUAUGCCGGAUUAUUACAGCCAUUACCGGUGCCUGAGCAAGCUUGGAAUGAGGUAAGUUUAGACUUCAUAGAAGGGCUACCGAGGUCAGAGGGGAAGGAUUCGAUAAUGGUGGUAAUAGAUCGCUUCACUAAGUAUGCACAUUUUAUUUCCCUCACGCAUCCUUAUACUGCUUCGGAGGUAGCCAAGGCUUUUUUCCACACGGUCUAUCGCCUACAUGGAUUACCAGCGAAGAUCAUAUCCGACAGAGAUAGGAUCUUCACCAGUGAGUUCUGGCAAGAGUUGUUCAAAACCAUGGGAACUAAGCUGCUCAUGAGCUCCGCCUACCACCCACAAACAGAUGGGCAGACGUUGCGGCUUAACAGAUGUCUGGAAACAUAUCUAAGAUGCAUGUGUUUCCAGCAUCCUCAGGCAUGGCAUAAAUGGAUCACACACGCGGAAUGGUGGUAUAACUCGAACUAUCACAGCUCACUGGGAAUGACCCCCUUCCAAGCCCUGUACGGGAGACCACCACCGAGUUAUAUGUUAACUGGAUUACAACAAGGAACAGGGGGGGAAGCGACAGAUUGGGUCAAAGAAAGAGAAAUGAUGAACAGAGAACUAAAAGACCAUCUCCAAAAGGCUCAGAACCGUAUGAAACAAUUCGCGGACCGGCGAAGGGUGGAUCGGGAGUUUAAGGUUGGUGAUCAGGUAUACCUGAAAUUACAACCCUACCGUCAAAACACUGUGGCCGUGCGACGAAACCUCAAGCUCUCGUCCCGAUACUUUGGGCCUUUCGAAAUCAUAGACAGGAUCGGACCGGUGGCCUACCGGCUACGCUUGCCGGAAGGGUCGAAGGUGCACCCUGUCUUCCAUGUCUCAUUAUUGAAAAGGAGCCCACCAGAAGGGAGAACCGCAACUGCCACAGUACCUCUUACCGGAGACAACGGCCAACUGCUAGCAGAACCAGCAGAGAUCCUUGAUAGGAGGAUGGUAUAGCGCGGCGGGAAGGCGGUUACCCAGGUGUUGAUCCAGUGGAGCAACUUGCCGAUGGAUCAAACGACUUGGGAAGAUUACUGGUUUCUCAAAUCGCAAUUCCCCACCUUCGAUUCUUGAGGACCAGAAUCGUUCGAAGGGGGAGGGAGUGUAAUGGUCAAGAGGGAGUUGAGGGAUUAGGGCAAGUGAAGAAAAGUCAAAAGGAGAGAACGAAAGAGAUCUGGAAUCCAGCGAAUAAACAGUAGAAGUAGUAGUAGUAGUUGGGAGUUAGCGGGUCGGGUUGUCGGGAUUCCAUUCGGGCACCAUCCGACAAAGAGGGUAACCCACUAAGCCUUCCAUUCUUGACGGUUGCUCAGUGGGCCGUCCACUCGAAGUCCAGAGGGCGGCAUACGGUCCAGGCCUUUGCAGAUUGGAAGCCCAGAUGGCCCAUCCGAGAAAUUACAUUUUCUUAUUAGUAUUCAGCUUAUAUGGGAAUUACAGAUUAGUCCUUAUGUAGUAGUUAUAAAUAGCUUGAGGAGUCAAGUGUAAGGGGGUAAUGAAUGAAUUGAAUUGUCUUCUUCUUCCUCAAUCUUCUAUCUUCUUCUCUUCUCUUCUCCUCUCAUCUCUCUCCUUCCUCUUCCCUAGCCCUUCACUCUGAUCUUCUUGUUCUUUAAUCGAGCUUCCAUCAUCUCUAUCUCACCGAUCCUCAGAUCCUUCUCAUCAUCGGAUCUGUGAGAUAGAUCAGGUUGUAACAUACUUUCUCAAUUUUCUGUCUUGUCUAUCGAAUAGCAAGGAUUUACGAGUUUUCUUUCUUUCAAAUUUGUUGCUUCUAAAGAUAGUUCAGUUAUGUAUGAUUAAGUAGUUAAGAUACAUAAGCUUUUGAGGUAUUGUGAUAAGUUCUAACUGGAAAUUUUUUUGGACAUGCUUUUGAACCUCAAUCAAAUGUAUUUAGAAAUAAAACAAAUCGGAACAGUUUCAAAUCUUUAAGUUCCUCUGAAAGAAGUUCAUAUAUCUUUAAAGUGUUACUGUCAUCACUCGUGGCUUUUUGAGUCUAAACCACUGGCCAAAAUUACUUCAAAUCAAGUUACCGGACUGCUUUUCCUUUUAUACCCAUGCAUAGUCACUUCGCUAGCUGAUAUGGCACUAUUGGGGUUUGACACCUCAUCUCUCCCUUCCUCAUUGAUAAGGACUAAUUUUACUUUGCUGACUAACAUGUAUAUGAAUACUUGAUAUUUCCUCUUCAAAAUUUUUACAUACUUUAGUAGUUCUUUAAUAUUCUUGAUAUAGGACAUGGUAUGCUUCUAUGAUCUGCAGGAACAAUGCGUUCACUUGAUCACAUAACAACCGUCAAUGCUUCUGAAAAUGGCCAUGGAGGUAUAAACUGUUGAGAACAUAUAGUAUCUCCUUGAAAAGUUGAAUACUGGUUCUCCUUUAUUGUAUAUGUGAACUUUGAAUUGUCUUUAGUUGAAGCUUGCUUCGUUUACCUUAUCAAAAGUCUUUAAAUUAGCUUAAGUUUUAUCUUGCAGAGUGAUCGUUCCUUUAUCCAUGUUAUUCUAGGAAAACAUACUAGGCACUUAACCUUAACCCAAUGAAAAUUAUUUCAAGCAUGUAUUCCAGCGCCAAAGUUAAUAGACCAAAGUACCGUAGAAAACAUAUUUAGAGGACAUUGCAAAUAACCUUUUAGAAGGAGCUUUUUUUUUUAUCUUUUUUCUUUUAAGGGACAUUCUUUAGAAUUUGUAUUCAGAUGAUUUUUCUCUGUUGUCGAGGAUGAAUCAAGGGUACUUUGAGAAAAUUUGUGUGAAUCUGAUUCAGAUUGUAUUGGACAUAGAGGUUGCACAUUCUCAUCAAGGAUACUUUAAAAUAUAUCUGCAUAUUUUUUGAUGAUAAGAAUUUAGAGGAGGAUGUACAGGUAUUCUAUAGAUAGAAAAAGAAAUGAUUGUAUCUGACCUAGAGAGUAAUUUGUGUGAAACUGAUUGAGAUUUAUUGGUCAUGUGCAAUGAGAUCUAGUGCUUAUAAUGAGACAAGGUCGUGGAUAGUUGUGGACUAUUUAAUUAAAUCUUCUUAUUUGCUAAUAAAUAUGAAAAAUCAUAAAUCAAACUUGAGGAGACUUCAAAGAAAUUGAUGAUUUUCUAGAUUUGGUCAACCUGAAAUGAGUCCUCCCAACAUUGAUGCUAAAUUAUCAUAAACCAAAAAUUUGAUAAUAGAAGCUUGGAAUCAAAGUUAUAAGGCAAUCUUGAAUAGAAUACCUUCUUGGCUAUACUUUAGGUUAAUGCUAUCCAGAGAACAUCCCUCAGAAUCUCUAGAGUGAGAUAGCAGUCAUGAUGGGGGUGAAAGAGGAUGAAUUUUGUUCUGUGCAUUUAUAUUUGUUUCCUAUACAAAGGUAAGCAGAUGGGCCAAAUAAAGAUGAAUCCCAUCGACUGCAUGACUGUUGUUACAGAAAAUCAUACAGAGAAAAUGACGAGAUCCUAAUGCAUUCAUAGUUGCAGCAAUAACUGACUGCGAAACGAGCUGACAUAUUUGUAAGAGAGCUAAUAUAACAGUAAAAUUAUAGGUUUUAGUAAAUCAAACCUGAACAAAGCAAGCCGAACCUGUUUCUCUUUGUAUUUGCAGGUUAGUGUUUGUUGAUCCUCAUUUAAUUCUUUACUAUGUUUUUCAUUCUAUCUCAUAUAUGUAAUCUCUUAUGACUUGGUAAUACCGAUAAGGAGCUAGCUGAUUGUAUUGUCCGUGUAUAUCAGAUGCUCCAGUUCCUCUUGCAACGAAAAUUUACCACUCACAAGGCAACUAUCGUCUAAGGUUGAAACUGGGCCAUCUUUAUCGUGCGACGAGUGGAAUAGAAAAUAGCAGCAAUUAUGAAAGUUCAAAUGCAGUGGAGGAUGGAAUGUCGGCUCCGCCAGUCUUUAAUAAGUUGCCACAUGAAGCACAAAAGGAUAAUUUUCCGCAAAUGAAGGUGUGAAAGGCCUUUUAAAUACUUUUUGUACUGAACUUUUCAUUUUCAACCUGAAAGCCUUUCAAAUUUUUUGUUCCCUUUCUUUUCACAUUUCACUUCAUCUAUACAAAUUUUGUAUCCAAAGCAAAACAUUUCUGCAAUGUGUUUGAAAGAUAAACUUUUAGUCACAUGCAUAUUUGUACGUACGUGGAAAUUUGGUCCACAUCCUUUACAAGAGCAUUUUAACAAAAUACGGCACCAUAAGUUUUGACUCCUUUGACAACUUUGUAUCAGAAAACAAUUAUUACCUUCUACACUACUGUAGAUUACUGCCUCUUUAAGUGUAUGCGCCUUCUCUUGAAUGUGUCAGACCAUGAAGGGUCUAAUAUAAACUUACUACUUUUUGUGCUGAAUGCUCUACUACAUUGUAUUCAUCUAGAUUCUAGUAUGCUAGCUCACUAUGUAGCAAACUUGAUCUUACUGCUAAAUUCUUUUAAAUAAUUCCAAUUACUCCAUCUCUCCAAGUGCUCCCAACAAUUAUCAGAUGAUACAGUAGUAAUAAAUAGCAGAAGCAAGAGCAAUAAGGAGACACCGGAAUUUACAUGGACCAUGGGUUCUGAGCAGAGAAAAGCAUUCUCCUUACCCUAGAAGCUGUCUGUAUCAAAGAGGUUCCAUGUGUUGACAGACUUGAUCCAUCUUGUUUUUUCGGCCUUGGGCGAUUUGACUUAAAAUGCGUAAAUAUUUAUUAAACUUCAUAAUAUGAAUAGAUAGUUUGAUUGCAAUGUAUAUACUUUCGGAACACUUUUAUAGGAAUUCCAUUUUUCACACUGAUUUUUUUGUCUUUAAAAUCCUUUUUCUAUUUAAUUAAUCCAUACUUUUCAUAUUAAACUUUGUAAAUUAAUUGUUUGUUGUACCCUUGAAUGUCCUGUUCAAACUUUCCUUUUUUAAUGCCUAAUUCAUGAUGCUGCAUGUGAUUACUUGAUGUGGCAGUUUGUGGGAAUGAUUUUGCAUUAGCUAAGCCAAUUUGGCAAGAUUUCAUGGGCUGAUUUUUCUAUGUGAUCAAUUGCAAAACUAACCAUUUUAAGUAAGACAUGAGUGUUUAGGUUAAUUUUCUCCUGUUUGUCCUUAGAUCUUACCAAACCAAGCAAUGGCAAUUGCUAUUAUUUUUUUAUUUGUUCCUCUGCUCUCUUCCCGUCAUAUAUUCAUUGUCUUGCGAGUCAUUAGGAGUGGGGGGUUAGGGGCAGUGAUGUAGACUCUGGUCUUUAUGCACAAAAUGAAAAACUAAUCUGGUGCUUUUAAUUGAAAAUUGGGCCCUUUUCGGUACUGCUGCAUUUUUUUUUUUGGUUUUCAAAAACUCAAAUUCUAUGCGAUUGAAUGGGCUGACCAAUUGUUGGAUAUUUCGCUAUCUAUACAACCAAAUGGAAUUGUUUGGCAACAAAACCCAAGGUUUAAGUAGCAAAAAUAUUUUUUCUUUUUUUACCCUGCUUCUCUUUCUAAAGAAGAUGCUGCUUAGCAUCUGAUUGGGUAUGCCUUAUAAGCUAACAAACGACAGCAAGGAUAGCAAAGUUUGUCUGCGAGUGCAUUCAAUUGCAUAUGGUUUGUGUGUUUUAAGAAAAAGAAAAGAAAUUGAAGCAGAGUACUAAAUGAGGCCUAACAUUGUUGGCUUUCUUAAAAAAAAUCAUAUUGUAACUCUAUAUGCUCUAUGUGUUUACUCUAUAUGGUAAGGCACAAGGUUUUAAGAGCUGUGGCACAUACUUAUGCCGACCAGUGGCGGGCAUAGUACAGCAUGAGAUGGUGCUCUGCUGCCAUGCGGCACGUAGCGCGGUGCCGCUAGCAGGAUGCCUGUGCAGGCACACUUUGUCACAUGGUAUUUAACUUUUCGCACCAAUGUAUUCUAAUAGUUCCUUUUAUGUGCUUCUAUGUGGUACUUUGAUAUUUAAUGACUUGCUAUUUGCUAAUUUCAAAGCAGUUUGUGAAGAACAUACAAUUUUUCUGGACUGAGGAUACAAAUUUUGGGUGAACAAAAUUUUAUCGGCAUUAUCUCUUUAUUUCAUUGAAAUCUAUGAAGAAGUGCACGAAUAAUGAUUAUAGUAGAUAAAUGUAAAGCUCUAUUCAUUGUUUAUCAGUAAUUUUAUCUACUUUUUAGAGAUUUUUUGGCUUGUGGAAACAAGGGUACAAGUUAGGGAAAUCAAAAUUUUCUUGGGAUGCAUUAUUUGUAGCAGAAAGGAGUUUGUUAAAGAGUGUUUUUGUGUUGUCAGCAUGAGAUAGCCAUUGUGCUGUUACCUUGUUAGGAAGUACGGCAAGGUUGGCAAAGCCCCUGCUAAUAGGUAUUUAUAUUCUUGGUGAGGCAUAUGUUUAUAAUAUACUUUAUGCAAUUGGUCAUGAUGAGUGCACCGAAGCAACGCAUCAUGCAAACUUCCACUAGGGUUUGGAGUUUGGAUGCAUCGAAACUUUACACAAAUGCAAUCUAGUAUGCUCUCCUAUAAAAAUUUUCUAUCUUUGAUUCUCUAUUUGGCACAUGCAGUUCUCUUCUUCAGAGAUAUUAGGCGACUAAAACCUUGAUCUGUUGUUUAAAGGUUUACUUAAUGAUCCAGCGUUGAAACUUCUCUGGUUUUAAGUAUUGUUCCCUGUUUUUUUGAUUCGGUCGUAAUUGAUUUCUCACCACCUAUCUAUCCUGAUGCAAGUAAAUGGCGGAAUGGCAAUAAAAUUUUCCGGAUAGAUGAAACCAUGGUUUUAUUUCAAGCAAUUUUACACGUUGCAAUUUUACCCUUGGGAAGCAGAAAGAUGCGUACUCCUUGGGUGUCGUGUGCGACUCUGACCAGCUGACGAGACAAAGUUCAGAACUACAUGCUGAUCUCUCAGGAGAAUUAACGUCAGCCAUAAGCUUGCCAAACCAAGUACAACGGACUAACUUCUCGAGACUUGAACAGCCUGUAGCUGCUGCUCCAAAGGGAAUGACAAAAGUCAAAUACCAUGGAACGGCAUAUUCAUACUCUGGAAGCUCAGGUAUGUCAUUUACUUUCACAAGUAGAUCCUUGGGUUUGAUGGAAUGUGUGAUUGGACCUUUUAGCACUCCUGUGCGAACUCGCAUUUCAGAACUAGUGAUUAUGUGAAGUAUAAAAGUGUUGCACCUUAGAUGUAUAUAUGUAUGUGAACUGUUAUUGAGCACGAUGGCAUUAUCAAAGCUUUUAUGAGAUCUCAGGGAUUGCAUGGUAAUUGGAUAUGAAAACAAUAUGAGUCGGAAAUAGCGAUACAAAAAACCAUUGACAGAAAUCAAAGCUUGAUAUACACAUCUGCUUUCUAGUUGACAGAUAUAUAAACAUCUAUGUAGGUUUUUCUAUGAAGGGUAUAAUAUCAAUUUAAUAAUGCAUGUAGUAAAUCAUGCGAAGGGUUUCUAUUAUUUGGUUUAUCUGCUCGGUUCUUUAUAAAUAUUGAGUAACCCUUGUCUAAAAGUAACCUAUAUGUGUUCUAAACCUGAAGUGUUGCAUCCAUUUAGUAUUUCUGUUUAACUUAAGAAAAAUUACAUUCAUGAAGAAGAAUCUGUGAUGUAUUGAAGAAUUCAAAAAGUAAGAAGUAUUUUAUUUACUGGCAUAUCCAGUGCAGACAUGCCUAGGGUAUUAAAGCACUGUUGCUAUUAUUUCUUUAACAGACAGUCCAAUGCUUACAGGUAUUGAUGAUUUUCUUUAGGAUUAAGAACUUUCUGGUAGUGUUCGACAGUGUGAAAGAACAACUCGGGUCUUCGAGACCAUUGCAAUACUUCGCGGCCCGUAGGCUUGAGAACAGCUACCUGGGGAUUUUUGGAAUUAUGCCCACUUGGGGUAGGGAAUUCUCAGGAUGGCUGUCCCAACCUUAUCCUGGAACUGCUAUCCAAGUGUAACAGCAACUGGUCAGGACUUUUUUCUGCGCUGUUCCCUCUGCCUCUCAUGUAGUAGUAUUUUUCAGGAUAGAGGUGGGAUUGUGCGACAAGCUACCACUUCCCAUCCUUAUCCCCCUAUUCACCAAAUAUGCCCUCAGGCAGCGUUUGGAUUGGGGAUAAGGGGUGGAAUAAUCCUUAUCCCCCUCUUUAUACCCAAACGUUAAUUUUUUAUUCGAGAAUAGUAGUUCUCGGUUACCUAUAAUAACCGGAUAUAACUAUCCCCACCAACACCUCCAUUUUCUAUAUAUAACUACCUACUAUUUUUCUUAUUCCAUAUUAUCUAUCCAAAUGCUAUUUUUCUUAUCCUCGGGAACAACCCAAUUUUCAUCCAAACGCUAUUUUCUUGUCCCCAUACUUGUACCUAUCCCUGUAAUAGCUAAUUCUUACUUAUAUCCGAACCAAACGCUACCUCAGUAUCUGGCUGGUCGCCACCUGAGGUUGGGAUGUGUGUAAAUAGAAAGAUUAUCUGCGAUCUUUGGUUGCGAUAUUUUAUCAAACUAUGCUCCUCUUAUCAUUUAUAGAUUAGAUAUUUCAUAAAUAGAUAUACAUAGGUAAAUUUGGGUGUGAUUUUUGGUUGCAAUACUUGAUCAAACUAUGCUCCUAUUAUCGUUUUAUCUGUUAAAUCUUUGAGGUCAUUUUUCUGAUAUGUGGACUUCUUCGUAUGAGCAUUGCAAUAUGAUUUCCGGUAAUUUAUAUGGCACCUUUAACUAGGGAAGUUCUGUUUCUCAGGUUCUUUGGGAGCAAUGCAGCAGGCUAACGGAAGUGUUCCGGUGAUUUAGCCAUCGAUACGGUGGUCCUCUAAUGAAAGGGAUAUUCAGCUGUAUAUUCCUUACUUCAAAUUUCAAUUAUAUAGUCUAGCGUAAUUAAAUGAUCCCCAUUCCUCCUGCACUAUAAUGUACAAACAAAUCAACUUCGUUCCCUUGUAGUCGAGAUGGUGCAUCGGUACAGAUUGAGUAACUUGCGAGCCUGCGUUCGACUCAAAUGAAACAGCCACUCACAUCCAUUGGUUGGAAGGGAGUUUCUUUUUCUUUUUUUUGAAAAAAAAAGAAAAAAACAUUUUGAUUUUCGUCUCAUCGAGGAAAAAGUGCUGCAGAUUCGAUGCUGUAAUUUAUUAACAUCAUUGGACUUCCUAAAUUUGGCUUAUUGCCAAAAACAGUUUGUGCUAUUUGAUGGUUCGAACGAAAUUCGAGUUUUAAAUUCGAGUUUCAUGCUAUUAUAUCUCUUAGUGAUGCAGCUACUAUGCUGUUGAAUGGUUGUGAUCAACCUGCGCCAACUUUCCUAGAUGUUUUAGUGACGCGAUGCAAUUCCUGUUAGGGCAAAAGAAAAAAAAAAGUUAAUGGAGUUUCAGCAAAUAAUACUCUAAUUAGCUUUAUUUAUCCUGAUGAUGGGUUGUUGAGACUAUUUCUGGGUUGUUUGUUAUGUGAUUAAUCGUCCGGAUUAUAGUAGAGAUUAGUUGGUUUACUUCCAUAAUCCCUUUUAUUUAAUUGUUUGUGCAGGCACCGUGGAUGGUAUGGUUCAUCUGAUCUCUACACGUACGUGAUGGUAUGGUUCAUCUGAUCUCUACAUAUACGUGAGUAGGGUUAGCAAUCCAGCUCGUGCUCGUCUUGAAAUGAGUUCGAGAGCAAUCGCUCGUCUAAUGAACGAGUCGAACAUGAGUUGAAUUUUUCAGCUGGUGUUAAGGCUAUGUUGUGGUCGUCAUGUGGUUGGCCCAUCACUUGGAAAUGGAUUUGCAAAAGAAAAUUAGAUAAAUAUUUGUCAAAAAUUUAUAUUCAGUCUGCCACGUUUCGAAUUGGAGCGAUAAGUGGGAGCAAAAGUUUGAACAAAAAUUAAUCUGAUCCCCCUGAUCUGUCUCGUUUGCAUUCCUAUCCACGGAUUUUUAAAAAUAUUGUUGAUUUUUUGUUUUUAGAUUUGCUUAGAUUAAGUUCAAUCUUAAGUAUGAAUCAUUUAUUGUUUAUCUAAUAAUUUAAUUUUAUAUCUUAUUCAUUACCAACUUAUUAAGUAUAACACAUCAAGUUUACUAAAAUUUAUAGAUAUUAAGAACUGUGUGCCUAAAAUGCUAUAUAAUUAACUAAAUAUUUUAAUCAUAUUUGAUUAAAAUAAAGAACUCGAUAAAAAAAAUAACAUUGAAGCCAACAUUUUGACAAUAUCCUCAAAUUUUACGACUAAAAUCACUUCAUUUUUAGAAAAUUAUGUGAAAUCAAAAUUUGAAAACUAAAGUAUCACUUCUUUCCUAGCUUGAGAACUAAAAAUAUAAUUUAUUUUUAUAUUUAGGGUUUUUUUUUUUUUACAAAUGAUCCGAACAAAUUUAUAUUUGCAUAUAUGGCCCUCUCGUUGUCACGUGAGUGUCAUGUUGGUAGUUUUAAGUUGAACAUAGUGAAUAAAUUACUGUAUUUAUAUUUACAUUUUAUUCUCAUUUUUUAACUUAGGGAUAAUAAAAAAUAUAAAAAAGGAAUAUGUUUAACUUAAAAACACCACCUGAUGCUCGCGUAACAAGAGGAGGACUAUUUAUACAAAUAUAUAUUUUUUUUUUUGAGGAAAUUAAAUAAAAAAAGUUUUUAUAUUUAUAAAUAUACAGAUAAUAUUAUUUUAUUUUUAGCAACAAGAUAUGUGCAAGCAGUGCAAGAGGAAAGAGGAAAAGAGUUGUUGGUGCUAAUCAUUUGCAUUAGGCUGCUCAGCUACUCACACUCUACUAGCUGACUGACUGGCUGUAUAUUACUUGCUUGGUGUGGGUGACAACUGACAGUCAAUCCGCAAGAGCAGACUGUCCUCCUCUCCCUUCAACUGCCUUUUCUUGAUUUGGUCUGCUGCGCCGCAAAAAAAAAAAAAAAAAAAGCAAGAAAAGAAGAAGAAAACUGACAUUGGUGGCCUUUUUUGACCCUCUCAACUACUUCCACUUAAGAGAGGGAGAUGAGAGAGAGAGUAAAAAUGUGGGAGUUUAAAAUUCCUUAAUUAUAAAAAUAAAUAUUUAAAAUUUUAUUUAAGUUGUGAAUUAUUCAUCAUUUCCUAGAAAUAAUAGGCCAUACAUUUUUUUUUUAAUCAAAUUUUUAUAUUUUUUAUAUUCAAACUCUAAAGGAUGUAUAACAUUAAAUAGUGAAAAAAAUUUUAGCAUUUUGAGAAAGCGGUAAAUGAUUUAUUGUGUUUAAAAAACUUCAAAAAUAUCUAAUAUGUCCAAAAUGCGAUUUUCUGAAGUUCUUCAAAUAUCUCUUAAUCCUUACGGUUUACUAAUAGGAAUUGGGGUAUAAAGGGGUAUUUUGAUAAUUUUAGGAUAAAUUUAAAAAUUUUGAAUAAUAGUCAACAGUAAAUAAGCAAAAGUCCCUUUAAUUUACCUAUAUCUCACUUCUUAGCAUUUUAAUUUUAGUAACCAAUACAACCUUUCGACUGCAAUUUAGCCUUUGACUAAAGGAAAAAUAUUUGGCUCUAUAGUAAUUAAUUAAUCUACAAAUUAUACAUUAAUAAUUUCUAUGCAUAUCUUUCCCUUCCCAAUAUAUAUAUAUAUAUAGUAUAUUUCUACAUAUGUUGCUAACAUACACAAAUUUACUACAAACACUAAGCAAAAAAAGAUAAAAAGGAAAUGAAAAAAAAAGGUGGCCAAUAUCAUACGACAAUUAAAUAAAAACUAUAUAAUAUGUAUGAUCCAAUCACACCAAGCCAUGCAUGCAUGCAUGCAAUGCCACGUACGUGGAGAGCUACGUACGUACGUACGUACGUAUACUAAACGAUGCUCAUGAGAUCUCCUCUGAUCCUCUCCACAGCUUCUCGAUCACACACAACUGAGGUGACGGCCACACUGAGAGUGUGACGGUCGCCGCCGCCGCCGCUCUGUUGCACCGUCGCGCUCAGCACGUCGGCCCCGUGAUCUUCGAACACUCGCAGCACUCGCGCCGCCGCCCCCCGCGUCCGAGGAGGCGCCACGCAGACCCCGAAGAACGCGGUGUCGGCCGUCGACUCCGCGGUGAUCGUGACCGCCGACGUCGACGACGCCUCGGGUCCCGACCGUCGGUCCCUCGUCGUCGCCGCCGUCGCCGUCGUUUCUCCGAUGGCGGACGCCGCCUUGCGCGCGUCGAGGGCCGCGAUCGCCGCUUCGAGGCCUUUGAUGUACGAUAUCGUCUCGUCGAUGAUCCUCGUCCUCGUCGCCUACAUUGCAUGCGUUAAAGAUGAAGAUCAUAAAACCCUAGACAAUCCAAAAGGCCUAGAAAAUUUCUAUUUGUAUGAUAUGAAGUAUAUGGUACAAAAUAAACACAUAUGUAUAUAUAUAUAUAUAUGUGUGUGUGUGUGUGUGUAUAUAUAUUCAUUCAUGAAUAUACUCUUAAAUCCUUUUUUAAAAAAGAAUUAUUUUUUAACUGGUGUCUAAGAUAUAUAUAUACACACACACACACACACCAGGUGAUACACUGAAAUUCAUGAUUUUUUUUGGUCUCUUCGAAGAAGAAGAAGAACUGAUUAUACUUAAUAAGAGAGCACAAUUUCACAAAUAUGUUUAUAUAAUAUUAUAGAGAACAUAUUAUUUUGAUUUUUUUUGGUCUUUUGUAUGUAAAAGACAUAGUGAUUUCUCUCUCUCUCUCUCUCUCUCUCUCUCUCUCUCUCUCUCUCUUUUUUGAUUUCUUUAAUUUUUGCCUGUUGAAGAAGAAGAAGAAGAAGAAGAGUAAAUAUUGAAAAAGUGGACACAAAGAUGUUAAAAAGCAAUAUUUAGAAACAGAUAAUAUAUCCAUUCACUAUGUUAUGUCCAAACACACACACACACACACACACACACACAUUAUAUAUAUAUAUUCAUGAUUAUUUGAAAGUCUCAGCUUAUACAAAACAACAACAACAACAACAACAUGCCCAUAUACAUAUACAUGCAGUGCAAUGCAACUCCAUAUAAUAAUAACAAUAUAUGUAGGAAUAUAUAUACAUAUAUAUACAUAUACAUAUGUAUAAAGGAAAAAACAAAAUAAAGUAAUUAAUAAAUUGUUAAACCUUAGGGAAGAGAUUAGGAACAAGAGAUUGUAAGAUGGUGUAGAACUCAGUCAUCUUCUCCCUCCUAUUUCUCUCCAUGUGGAUCACAUCACUCUUCAUGCUGUUACGAUUACUCCGCGUCGACGUCGACGCCGACGCCGACGCCGAUUUCAAGCUCUUGAUCCUCCUCAUGGCCACUGCUAUUGUAUAAUGAGUUAUGUAUAUAUUUAUCUCUCUCUCUCUCUCUAUAUAUAUAUAUAUAGUUCCUUCUUUAUAAACACUAAUCCAAAUUACUUAUGUAAAUAUGUGUGGAGUCCCUUCAAGUAUGACCUAGUUAGAAAAGGGUCCUUACAUAUUUUUUUUUAGUGGGUAAAUUGCACUACUAGCUUGCUUCUGGACUCUGGAGUUUAAGUCCAGAUUAUAUUUUGGUCCUCAAAAUUUUGAUUUUGACGCUCAGGUCCUUGAACUUAUAAUAAUGUUUCAUUUUAGUUCCUGAACUUUAACUAAAGUGGCAUUUUUAGUUUUUUUUUACUUUAGAGUUAAAAUUAUUAUCUGCGCUGGCCUGAUUCAAUUCAUGGUCGUUUAUCGAUCCUUCAUCCAAAUUUAUACUUCGAAUUUAACGGUCCAAUUUCUAAAUAACUAAACAUACAUAUAUGAUUGUUUCUAAUGGAUAGUUGCUUCCAACAGUAAAUAUUUAAUUGAUUUAACAUCAAAAUUAGAAGUUUGAGGAUCAAAAUGAAAUUUAGCUAUAAGUUUGGGGAGUCAUGGUACAAUUUAUUUGUCCUUUUCUUUUAUUAAGACCCCCUCAAUUAGUUGAGUUAUUUAAGUCAAUUACUUAAUUUGAAAUUUUGUUAAUUUAAUCAACUUAUACGUUCAAAGAAACUUAGGUUUUAAUGAAUAAUUAACAUUAAGCAUAUAUACCACUAAAAGCAAUUAAGCACAUACUAACUCAAAUCAAAAUAAAUAAUUAAAAUUGUGUAGCAAUAUAAAAAAAAAUUGCGGGGAUCUAUUUUUAAACAUAAUUUAGUUGAGGGUGCCCCCUGUACUUUUUUAAAAUCCCUCCUCAACUUUCAGAUUUUCAGAUUUUAAUAGUUUUAGUCCAAUAGAUUAAAAAAUAUAUCAAAUUUACCAACAAUUUUAUCAAAUUCACUACUUCUACUCACUUUCUAGCAAAUAAACUGCAAUAAUUAAUUAAUUAAUGGCUAUUAUUAAUAGAACCACCAUAUUUAGAAAAAUUUGAACUAAAAGUUGAAGAGGUCAUUUCAAAAUGGUCUAUUGUUGAGGGAGUUUUCCAUAAAUUUUUUUCCCUAAAAAGCUACUAAAAGGGUAUGAUUAGUUGUGUGCUGUGUUCAGAGUUAGGGAUGUUAAUGGGUCGGAUUCGGGACAGAUUUUGAAAAACCCGAAUCCGAAACCUAACUACCAAACCCGAAACCGAAAUCCAGAUCCGAAUUCAAUGGAUUUUAAAAAUCCAUAUUAAAGCCCAAACCCGACCAAAAAUUCAAAACCCGAAGCCGAGCCCGAACAUGAAAUAAUUAUUUCUUUUUACGAUAUUUCAAAAUACGUCAUAUUAAAUCUAAAUUUUUUAAAUACAAAUUCAAAUACAACAUCAAAUAUUUAUAUAUAUUAUAUAUAAUAUAAAAUAAUUUCGAAUUCUGGUCAGGUUUGGGUUCGGAUCAGAUACAAUAAAAAAUCAUAUCCGAAUUCAAAUCCGUUGAGUUUUCAUUUUUGAUAUUCAUAUCCGAAACUAUUAGCAUCGGAUAAAUUCACUUUGUUCGGGUUCGGGUUCGGAUUCGGAUAAUAUUUCAGGUAUAUAUCCUUAUCCAUUGAUUAAUGAAACCACCAAAUUUAGCAAAAAAUUGAACUAAAAGUUGGUAAGAGACCAUUUCAAAAUUGUCUAUUGUUGAGGGGGGCUUUCCAUAAUUUUUUUCCCUAAAAAGCUAUUAAAAGGGUAUGAUUAGUUGUGUGUUGUGUUGUGGUCAGAGGAAGUGUGGGGGCAUUUUAGGAAACCUGGCACUGUGGUGGGAUUGCUCUCUGAAAUAAGAUUUUUUUUUUUUUUGGUUUCAGAAAAAAAUUUAUUAAAAAGGUCAGUGGAAUGUGCAGUUCCUGGGAGGGCUCAUCAUUAGUUCUGUUUUAGAUUCUUGCUUUUGUUAUUAUUAUUAUUUCUUUUCAUUGUUUCUCUUUUAAUUCUAUAUAAUAAUAAUAAUAUGUAAGGAUUAAGUAGCAAAGCAUGUGUUUUCUUUUGAUAAGAGGCUACUAACCCUUGAUUUUCUUUUAGGGCAUGUUUUUGUUGGAUCGUUGUGUUGACGCUAACCAUUAAUCUCAAUAGCUCGAGCCGUUAGUAAUAAGAUGCAACUAAUUCACUUAAAAUCGUACGGACAAUGUUUACGGUUCUUAAUUGUGACUUAACCCAAACAGCCUCUCGCCGCUUCAAAUAUGAUUCGAUUCGAUCUGCCGUCUCGUCAUUUUAAAUGUGACUCGGUCCAACUCAGCUUCCCGCCAUAUGGUAGAAUGCUGCACCUUUAAGCCCGCAUGCUUGGUCAAGAGGUCAGAGUUGACUUUUGAUGGUAAAAGUCAAAUGAGCACAUCAUAAAAUGUGGUGUGCAUUUUAGUUGGAACAUUUUCAAAAGCUUGUGGGAAUAUGGAGGUGUAGGGUUUUGUAGUUUCUUGGGCUUGAUUCAACCCACAAAUGAAGCCCUAAAUUUGUGGGCUAGUGGGAGGUCGAGAGCUUGAGUUGGUAAAUGGGUGGGCCAGGUCAGGUCGGGUCGGAUCUUGACCCGGUAAAAUACCAAUUCGGUUCAACCCGUAAAACCGGACUAGUUUAAAAUCCGCUUUGAUCUGUUCAUAUCAGUGGUUUAAUCAGUGAACUAACAAACCGACACGGUCUUACAAAAACCGGACGGAUUUUUUUUUUUCAAUUUUAUAUUUUAAUAAUUAAUGAAAAAUACGCAUUAGUUUUUUUAAUAAUCUACACUUUGAAUAUAUAUUUUUAAUUAUAUAUAAUAUAAUAAUAUAAAAAACAAUAUAGAAUAUUAUAUUUGAUAUAUCUAUUUUAUUAUAUAUAGUAUGAAAACUUAAUAAUUAAAUAUUUAUGACGUCAUACUAACGUCAUUCAAACCGGUGGUUGAACCAGUAACUUAUGACUCGGCAAUAUUUUCAAGUCGUAAACAGUUAUGGGUUUUAACAUAUUGGUUUGGGUUGGAUCAUUUUAAGUUUGGGACCAUUUGGGGUCUCAAAACUUUUCGGUUGUUUCGCGUCUGUUCGCAAGUCAGAUCGUUUUCGGCUUCCAAAAGUUAGAUUUGUGCUUGACUCUUCAUUUAAUAAAUUUUCUGAUCACUAACUUCUUAUUUACUUCGAAAAGUGAACCAGCGAACCAGCGUAGCCUAAAUUAACCACCUGGGUAGCUUGUGUUUGACUUUAUAUUUAGCUUAGGGCUAAUAAUUAUUAGGGUAAGUCUUAUAUGUUUGGUCCUCAUACUACGAGUUAGUUAACACUUUAGUUCUCAAAUUUUAAUUUGUUGUUAUAUCUGAUUCAAACUUUUAGAAUUGUUCCAAUCAAAUCUUACAAUCUAAUUUGUUGACGGUCGUGCAUUUAUUAGUAAGGUUGAAAAAAAAUAAAAAAUAAUCUUUAUAUGUGGGGUUUUUGGGGAGCCUCUAAGCUUACUCUCUCUCUCUCUCUCUCACACACACAAAAGAAGAUCAAUCAACCUCUCUCUCUCUCUCUCUCUCUCUCUCACACACACACACACACACAAAAGAAGAUUAAUCAAUCUAACUUUGGCCUUUAAAUGAUGUUUGUGUUCUCAUACAAUCUUAACCUUUUUCAAAUGAACUUGCAUUGAAUUGUUCCUUAACUCUUGUACUUUGAACUCCAUUCUAGGGAAAAGGAAGAGAAAAAGUAAGUACUAAAGUCUACUUAAUUUAGAUAGUCAUUUUAAUUGACAUUAGGGAUUUUGAUGGUUAAGAAUUCUUGAGAUUUAUUCGAAUCCGAAUCUGAAUGGUAUUGAUUCACUUCAGCUAAUACUAAACAUGCAUAAUUUCAUUUAUGUAAGUUUAAAGAACAAAAACCGUACGGGUUCACUUUUGGCUACGGUUCUGUUUAUAUCCGAACCAAACCCGAAACCAACCCGUAUUAAAAGAAGGCGCCCCCUUCCGACUGCACUCCCAAUGGUAGAGGGGUGUUUUAUCGACCAGGGAGGUGUUUAAGUGCGGUGUGUCCUAUUCAAUUGGGAAUGGACAAACCGUUAAUUUUUAGACGGAUAUCUGAAACGACCAAGCUUCCAUACAAACCUUGUUCCCUAGUGUCUACAAUAAUGUUGCGAACAAGAACCUUAAAGUGCUAGACUGUUAGGGAAGGAACGGAUGGAAGUGGAGUAAGAUCUUGUCGGGGUUCUCGCCUUCUUCCCGACAGGACAGAAACCUAAUUCUGAAGCUGAAGGAGUCGAUCUCCAUGAGCCCAUUGCCUGACGAAAAGGACAAGGUUCGGUGGAGAUGGGAAAAGUCUGAUAAGUUCUCCGUCAAAUCGCUUUAUAACUUUUUAUAGGACGGAGGAGUUAAUGACAGGAGCUUUCACCAUUAUGGAAGAUUAAAUCCCCUCUAAACGUUAAGAUCUUCGUAUAGCUAAUCCUGAAAAGGAAGGUGCUCGUUGUGGACAACCUCUUGAAAAGAGGUUGGAUCGGUGCGUCUUCUGUGCGGCAACAAUGGAGACAGCGGAUCACCUUUUCGUAAAAUGCCCUACCACCAAAGACCUAUUGGAGAUUUUGAUGCCAAACAAACGGUCCCUUUUUUUUUUGUUCGUCUAUCAACCAGCUGUGGGAUGACUACAAACUUAAAGGUGGUUCGAUAGGAAUGAGAGAGUUAGCUAUGGUCGUCACCACUUGGUGGGUGAUCUUGCUAGACCGUAACUGUCGUAUAGUUGAGAAAUCCAAAAUCCACCGGGUACCUCUUUGACCAAGAUUCUCUCCCUCAGGGAGUUCUGGGACAGCUUCUGCAUCAGCUAAUGCCGGGAAUCCUACCGACCUAGAAUCUUUUUUUUUUUUUCCUCGAGGCCUUACUGCCUCAGUUUGUAGCCGAGUUUAUAUCCUAAAUGAAUGGAGCGGUAGUUGUCACGCCCCAGGGCCAAUUUUAUAAGCCUUUUUGUAACGAAUACAGAAUUUAGAAACAAGAGUUGCGAAAAAUGUGCCAUUUUUUUUCUUUUUUUUUUUGAAUUCAACCUGGCCCACGUGACGUACAGACCAACCACAAAUACAAAGUUUCUCUGUCCACUCGGACAGAGUCUGUCCACAUCAGGAUCACAGCCACAGUCUAUAUUUACCAAUCCGUAAAUAAUUCAUGCGAUGCAUUUUCAUACAGCUAGCGAUCCUUAGAGAUGAUGCAUGCCUCUAAACACUCCUUAGAUGCUGGAUGAUGCGAUGCACAGUACAACAGUCAUUCUAUUUAAAAGUGCUCCCCAUUCGGAAGUUUUGAUUUUAAACUCUAUUUAAUCAUUCAUAAAAACCAUUUGAAAAUCUUUUUAAAACUGUUUUCCAUUCAGAAACUUUACUUUUGAAAACUGACUACUUUGAGGGGUAGAAAACCACAAUGCGUAAAUACAUAAGUCCGAGGACCAAUUAUCCAUAAAACCAAAACCACAAUUCUAAAAUCUCCAAUCGCACGCAUAAUAGAAAAUCACCAAGUCAACCAGUUCACAAAUACUCAAACAGUAGUAUUGAUCAUCUAAUUGAACCAUUUAAUUAUAUAAAUUACUAAUGCGGAAAUAAAACAUAACCAGGGUUACGGCCACUACUGUAGCCUAGCUAGGACGUCCAACCGUCGCAUCAAGAAUCAACUCCUCGGCCGAGUCACCUGGGGAAAUGGGGGGUGAGAAACCACAAUCAAGAUUUUUUCAGUGGGUAUGACAGAACCACGAAGGCAAAUCGUAUUCACUAGAAAACAAAGAAAAUGGAACAACAGAUAUAUGUGUGAUAUAAGAAAAACUACAGUAGUAAUAGAAGCAGAAUAGUAAAUAAGCAAGAACCGAACUAAUACUGUAACAAAAACUCGAUUGAACAGAUGCCUCAAGGGUAUAUAGUCCAAAUCAAACCCAAUCUGGUGCCUGUUAUAUUGGUCCGUAGACCUCAAGCGUUGUCUAUCACAGAGCAUACACUUACAUUGAUUCAUGCGUCCACCGACGACCUAUCCGGAUAAAUACACCCCCCGGUUGGUGGCCAAACCAACCGGUGUCUAGAAUAUACAGUGCUGUGACUAAAUCAUGCUAAUAUGCUCAAUACGAAAACUGGCAAGAAGACCAGUGCUUUGGCCGAAGCCAGAUGCAAGGGCGUACAAUGCCGAACCACGAUCAAUUAGAUCGAACACACGACAAAGGAGUUGAUGUGUUGCCUGGAUCCAAGGUCCACAGAUAUACAACAUAUGUAAGCCUGCUCUACAUGUCUAUCAAUAACUUAUCAUCAUGUAAGCAAUAAGAUAUAGAUGAACGAACGAUAAACAAAGGUAACCGACAUGUAGAGACUACGAUGCUGAUAUAGAAGAACAGAGAAAAGCGAAACGAUCUCACCGACUACCAGCUCGAAGCACCCAUCUGUCACUAUCGCGUCGGAAACCUGGGUAUGCAACAGGCCAACCGGACCUACGAAGAUCCACCGGAUUAGUACCCAACCCACAAACCCAAAAUACAUUACUCACAAACCCCAUACCAAUCCCCGAAAUCGGUUUUCUUAAACUAAUUACCGUAACUCACCGGAAGUCCCGAAAAUCACACCGGACGCCGUCGGGACUUACUAUGUGUCCCGAAACUCACCGACUCAUGCCACGAGUCACCCACUGCCACAAAACACACCAAUUUGGAUGUCUUGGCAGCAAACACAAGAUUACACAACUAAACAAUUAUCGUUGGAUAAUUGUUCGGAUCCAAGUUCCCGGAAGUGUCCAUUUCGACACCAGAACCCACCGUCGCUCAUCCGUCAUCUCCAAACCCAUGAUAAGACGAUGGUGACCAGCCGACAAGGCUCAGCGACAACUCUCAGGGCAAACAAACACCGUUGGAUGAAAUCUGAACUGAAACCGUGUUCCGCCAGCGAAUUUCGCCGAAGUACGCACCGAAAUCGACCUAAACUCGCGCGCGAGGACGACAGGAAUCGACCGGGACGGUCGUCGGGGCUUCGGGGGAGGGCGGCUCGGCCGUCCCUAGGUGGUGGCGGCGCGACUUAUGGGAGCUAAAGCUCGCUCGGCCCGAGUUGGCCCAGUCCGACCGCAAGCUGCCUGGGCGGCAGCGGCGGCUCGCAGGGGCUGCGGCGACUGGCGGGGGAGGUCGCCGUUGCUCCAGGGGAGGCGCUGGUGAGGGGCCGGAGGGGGAAGGACACCUCACUUGCUCUCGGCAGGGAUGGGAAGCCGAGUGCAUGCAAUGUGAGGGAGAGGGAGAGAAAGAAAGCCUUCUCCGACGGUCGGCGGCGUGCGCAGGCAGCGUGGGCAGGCGGCUGGGGCGCGCGCGGCUGUGACACCCCAAUAGUCCCACAUCGGAUGGGAAAGGGGUUGUCAUUGGGUUUAUAAGAGACUUAGACACUAGUAAUAAUAACUGGGCUUAAGCAUUUUGGGCCGGUUGUUGGGCCCAACGAGUUAUUGUUGCUAGUGGCUGGGUCGUUACAGCGGCGCACUCAGGGAAGGGAGCAGAAGCGGCUGGGAGUCAGCUGGGGGCUAGGGUUAGGGUUUCCCUGGAGCAAAACCCUAGAAGACUAUAUAUACAUAAGGUAAAAAUGCACAAUAGUCCCCGAAAAACCCCAUGUUUAGAACCGAGUCCCUUACGGCGUGAGUAAAACGCACGAAUACUCCUCCAUGCCCGAUCUCUCGCGAAACGGUACAUAAAAUGUCGAGCUUUUUGCAAAAUUACCGUUUUGCCAUUAAUGACCCCUCCUCGAUUAACGCACGAUAUCCGGAGAUCCGUCUGUCAGAUUUGUGAACGGAUCACACCAGUACGAUCAGCAUGAUAGAGAUAACAAACUCACAAUUUUGUUUCGCCUCGUUUGGUUACGGAUUCGCGACAAAACCCAUCAUCUCUCGAAAUGGCGAAAUUACACACAAAUACAUAUAUAAUAUAUGUAUUUCCAUAUUUCUCAAAAUCCAUGCAUCAAACCUAAAAUCCAUCGGCGUCAAUGAUUCCAGAAUAGCCAAAUCAUUAAAAACGAGCUAUUGGAUCGUUAUGAACGAAGUCCGAUACGUGCUAGAAGCCAUCUUUACACUUUGGCCUCUCCGGAAACUCAGGUUACUAUUCACUUUAAGUAAAAAGUAAAGAUCGCGUAAAAACUCUAUUCUAACUCAUUUUGCCCCGAAACUUGAUGAGUACUUUUGUAAUUAAAUUACACACAAAAACAUCGUCAACGGAGAGUUUAGCUACACUGCCAAAAUCUCAGUCCUUACAGUAGCAUGCUACUUUUUCUAAAAAAAAAACUUAUAUUAUAUGCACAUAAUAUAAUUUCUUAGAUAUUUAUUUUGAUAAUUUAGUUUAAUAUUUAGUAAAUUAAAUAAUCGGGCUCGAUUUUAUAAUUUCAUAUAUGGGUUUCAGUAUUUUAUUCUGGUACGGUUUCAUAUUUGAAUUUUUAUUCUAGAUCGGAUUCGAGUAUGAUUUCAAAUUUCGUUUUUUUAUUCGUGCCUGGUUUUGGAUUUUGUAACAUAUAUGUAGGAGAAAAUCUAUCUGUGUAACACUCACACCAUAUCAUCUAUGUCUAAUCAAUCAUAUCUCUUCUUUUGAGAGAAUAGUACAAUAAAAAUAUUUUUUUUAAAAAACCAUGAUAAGAUGACUGAACCCUAAGGAAACUUUUUGAUUGGUUGGGAUCACUACAUAAGCAAUAUAAGUGUUGCAUUAUAAAAUUUUCCCGAAUGGAAGGACCUAGGUGGCUACAUAUAUGUAUGAAAAACUCUAGAAUAUAAUACUUAUAUUGCUGAUGUGCAGACCGCACCAAUCAAAAAGCUUUCUUGGGGUUCACCCAUCCUAUCAUGACUUUUGGAAAAUUAUUUUUAUUGUAUUUUUUUUCUUGAAAAAAUAUAUUAUUAAUUGGGAACAGAUGACGUGGUACAAGUAUUAUACAAUAGAGUUUCUCCUGUAUUUGGCCUUGUACUUUUCUCUCUAGGAUCUUCCAAUAAUUGUGGAAGAAGCCAAAUAGUUGGAAACAUUGUGACAUAACCUGCCUUGUACGAAACCAUCAAACUUAUUUAUUUUUUUCUCCUAUGAUUAGUCAAACAUUUCACACAUCCUUGAAAACUUUUUUCAUGGAUAAUGCUAUGCCUAGGACACUUUUAUCUCUCUAUCAUGAAAAUUUAAGAUUUGAUUGGUGAAAGCGAUACAUGAAAAACGGGACGGAUCCUUGGAGGGAGUAUCUCACCUUUCGCUUUAUUUUUUAUCUGAUUAUAAUAGAUUUGGAGCGAGUUAAUCUUAAUAUUAUUUUUGGCCCUUAUUAUUUUAUUUGGAACAGAUCGCACUGAGACAAAUUUUUGUCGAACAUUUGGUGACGUGAAUCGAAGUGGAUUAAAGGACGAAAGAGGUCUCCCGUCUUCCACUUCAUUUACUUGACAGAUCAAGACAGAUUCGAGGUGAGUUAUAUUUUUUUUAUAUAUAUUUUUGGUUUCGGGACGAGAAUUCUUCAACCUGACUCUAUUUGUGUUUCUAGUUAGAACUAUGGACUACUUGGAUUUGACUAUUCAAUAUUUUAAAAUUUUGAUUUUACUAUUUAACUUUCCAAUUUAUUUGAUUUGAGUCUAUGAACGACACUCUGACUAUAAAAUUUAAGCUAAUUAUUUAUUUUAAUGAACUUAUAACUGUGAGAAUUGUACGAAAUUUAUAACUAUAUAUUUUUGUGAAGAUAAAUAAUAAAUUCAAAUUUUGAAGUCAAAGUGUAAAUCAAAUAAAUUAAAAGGUUAAGUAACCAAAUCCAAAGCGUCCAUAAUUUUAGUAAGUUUCAUACAUUUUUAUCCAAAAAAAAUGUUAUUAUAAGAAUGAUUUUUUGACUACGCUUUGAAAAUGCGUCCUCAAGUGUCCACACUAUAUAUAGAGCAACUAUAACGCUUCAAAAAAUAUCAUUGUACAAAGCAAGAUAUCUUCACCGUUCCCUACUGUUGCAAAUCAAUUUAUUGAAAGAUUAAUUGUACUAUUAUUUUAAAUUUUUCGAUGCUUUGAAGCGUCAGAAUUUUUUAUUUUUCUCUACUUUAAAGUGUCAGAAUAUAUUUUAGUGAUGAAUGACAUAAACAUCGGUAUGUAUGUGGCAACUCUUUAUUUGCCGACGCUGUCCGUGAUCUUUUUUGUGUGACGAUAAACUAGUUUAAAAUGCAUUUAUACACCGUUACUUACUGAAAAAUACAUUCUUAAAUGUUGUUUUUCUUGUAGUGUCUAAGGCUUAGUUUAUGAUUGUAUUGUCAAAUGUAUAUCUCCUUUUAUGUUUUAAAUUUAAUUAUUAUAAGGCCUAAUUUGAAACUAGGUUGCCAAAUAUAUUUGUUUUUUAAUACUUUAUAUGCCAUUAUGAGUUGCUAAAAGAAUGCAUUACAUGUAGCAAGAAUGUAUGAAGAAGUCUGUAUUUUUGGCAAGUUAUAUCACCAUAAUUUUUAUGUUCUGAAUUGCUAAAAAAAUGCAUUAUAUGCAGUAAAAAAAAAAAAGAAAAACUUCAAAUACCGGUCUUGUGGUUUUUUUUUUUUCACUUUAGUACCAUGUGGUUUAAAGUAUAUCAAGUUAGUACUCUGUGGUUUCUCACUUUACACUUUAGUAUCCUGUGGUUUAAAGUGUAUCAAGUUAGUACCCUGUGAUUUCGCACUUUAUCACUUUAGUACCCUGUGAUUUUGCACUUUAUCAUUUUAGUACCCUGUGGUUUAAAAAUCAUAGGGUACUAACUUGAUACAAAAUAAAAUCACAGAAUACUAAGUUGAUACAAAAAUAAAAUCACAGAGUACUAACUUAAUACACUUUAAACCAUAGGGUACUAAAGUGAUAAAGUGAGAAACCAUAGGGUACUAACUUGAUACACUUUAAACCACAAGGUACUAAAAUGAAAAGUGCAAAACCACUGGGGUGAUUUUUGAAGAUUUUCCAAAAAAUAUGAAGAGAAUUUAUUUUUUAUAAUUUUAACAAGCAACAUCACUGCGAUAUUUAUGAUUAGACUAUAAAAUAGAAAAUAUAUAUAUCAUUAUAUUCUUCAUUAAUACAACUACUUUUGGCCUAAUUAUAGCCCCUAGGUAGCUAGCUUUUAAUGCCACAGUGACGUUCAACGGUCCCCAUUUUUUUAAAAAAUAUAUAUACCAUUCUAAUUCUUAUUUAAUUUGUUUUUCCUAUAAUGUCAUUUAUAUUGACAAUGGCCUAUUUAACAAAAUAUAGGAUUAAAUACAUUCAGAUCUCUACAAAUAUAAUAAAUUAUAAAUAUAUUUUUAUAAAGUUCAGCUUUCAUAUAUUGUUCCUAUAAAAGUUCUAAUAUUUUUAAAUAUAUCUUUCUAGUUUAUUACCGUUAUAGAUUAUUUAUGUUUUAACAAUAAAUAAGGGAAAUGUUAAUUUUGUCUUCAUAAAUAUAUUUCUUUAAAAGUCAUAAAAGUAUAAUAUAAGAGGGGUAAAAAUAUAUGAAAGUUGAACUUUGUAGAGAUAUAUUUGCAAUUUACUAUAUUUGUAGAGACCUGCAUGCAAUUAAUCCUAAAAUAUAAUUACAUGAUAGAUAAAGAAAGGCCAAUUUGCAUAAAAAAUCUAGUAAUUNUUUUUUUUUUUUUUUUUUUUUUUCUCUUGUUCUUUUUUUCUUUCUCUUCCCAGAGAGCGGCAAAGGCGGAAACGCCACCCCCCCUGCCCCGGCGAUGUUGCCCUCGCUCGCUUUGGCGACGUUGCCGGCGACGAGCCCGGCUUCCCCGCCUCGACCUCUCCCCCGACCCCUCCUACCGCGCUCUCGCCCAGGCCUUCUGCCGCCACGGCCAGGCCCGCUCCGCCGCCUCCCUGCUCGACGACAUGCUCCACCGGGGUCUCCUUCUUCCUUCUCCUUCUCCGUUGGCGCGCCAACGCGAGACGACAACGGAGGGAUUCGGACUCGGCCCGGAGCCAGUCAGAGUGGCGGGGGAGGAACGUGGAGAGGUGGGCGGCACCGCCGAGCCACUCGGCGAGCUCACGGUUCUCAGCGCGGAGGCGCGCGAGGCGGCUCCAGAGCUCCUCGAGGUGGAAGAAGGAGGAAAAAAAAAAGAAGAAGAAUAAACCGAGGGGAAGAAGGAUGAAGAAAAAAAAAGAGAAUAAACUGAGGGAAAGAAGAAGAAAGAAGAAGAGAAUAAAAAAUAGUGUAAAUUUCACUCAAAUAGUACAACGUUUGUCUAAAAAGUGUAAUUUUUGUCAUCCCAAAUGGUGUAAAUUUUACCUAAAUAGUGCAACGUUCGCCUAAAGAGUGCAACUCUCGUCCCAAAGAGUGUAAUUCUAUCUCAAAUAGUGUAAAUUUUAUAUAAAACAGUGCAAUUUUUUUUAAAAUUGCACUCUUUGAGACAGAACUGUAUUGUUUGGGUGAAAUUUACACCAUUUCUCUUUUUUUUUUGUUCUUCCUCCUCUUUCUCCUCCUUCUCCUUCAAUGCUCGCCAUGUACAAGAACCCCAACCAUGGCUCGUCCCAUCCCAGCACCCCUGUCGCAGCAUCACUCCCUGUGAUGCCCCAACUUCCCAGGGGGUUACCCAUCCUAGGACUACUCCCGUCCUAGCACGCUUAACUCUCUUAACCUCUUGGGCCUUGCCACCACCCAAAAUGCUUAAGCCGGGUUAAGAGUUUAGCCAUAUUAUAUCUCACAUAUAGGACUCUCUGGGGUCUCACACUCCCUCACCCACAAGGGCCUCAAAAUCCGUGCUUACUACAGAGCGGCCAUGGGAAACGGUGGAGGAAAAAUGGCGCUCGCCGUGGUGCUCUUCAUGUUGGGGAGCGUCGAGGUGAGCGUGCCGGCAAGGGCGACGCCGGAGAAGGAGGAGGGGGCUGGCGGUGGGUUUGGCCAUGCCGUGGGUGGUGAUAUUGGUGGCGGGAUUGGGUCGGCGGGGAGGCCGCGGUGGAGCAUGUCGUCGAGCAAGGAAGCGAUGGAGCGGGCCUGGGCGAGGGCGCGGUAGGAGGAGGGGUCGGGGGAAAGGCCGAGGCGAGGGAGGNCGUGGUGGAGCAUGUCGUCGAGCAAGGAAGCGAUGGAGCGGGCCUGGGCGAGGGCGCGGUAGGAGGAGGGGUCGGGGGAAAGGCCGAGGCGAGGGAGGCAGGCUCGUCGCUGGCGACGUCGCCGGGGUCGGGGGGUGGCGUUUCCGCCUCCGCCGCUCUCUGGGAAGAGCAAGAAAAAAGAACGAGAGAAAAAAAAGAGGAAGGAGAAAAAUGUACAAGGGUAUUUUAGUUAGUUUGCUGAAAAAUCGGACCGAAUCUGCAAAAACGAAAAAGAUAGCCCACUUAUGCAAAAGCCCAAAAUUAGUGGAUUUUUAUGCAAAUUAGCCAUAAAUAAAAUUCUUUAUCCCCGAUUUAUUUAUUUAUUUAUUUUUCCUCAAAUGAUGGUUUUGUUUUACUAUAUUUGUAGGGACCUGCAUGCAAUUAAUCCCCAAACACAAUCUCCUUAAAUCAUUUCGAGCCGAACAUAAUCUCCCUAAAAUCUGUACGGAUCAGUAGUAAAUUUUUUCGAACCCAGAAAAUUUGAUUUGGUUUGAGAAUCGCCAAAAAAUCAAAUCCAACACAACCGAUUACACCCCUACUGAGAUGAGCCACCACUUAUUAGGGCGGUCAACGAGCUGAACAAGAGCGAGCUCGUUAAAAUAUUGAGUUGAUAAAUCCAGCUCGUGUUCGACUUAUUUAUUAACGAGUCGAACAUGAGAUCGCUCGCGAACAGCAAGUUAGAUUGUCAGCCUUACUGCUGGGGUAAAAAGUUGAAAGAAAAUUAGAAAAUUAGAAUCUUAAUCUAAUGAUUAAUUUACAAAAUAUCAGUCUCUUUACAUUUAGAAUGGCCUAAAAUUCAAAUAUUACUAAUUUCUAAGAUAUAUAUAUAUAUAUAUAUAUAUAUAUAUACCCAAUUAUAUAUAUUAUAUAUAGAGAGAGAGAGGAGAGAGUAGAGAGAGAGAGAGAGAGAAAGAAGAGAGAGAGAGUCCGGCUACUAGUAGCAAGCGCUUGUACUAUUGAAUUUUCUACCGUUAGAUCUACCCUUUGAUCAUUUUCAUCCAUUAGAUUAUAUUAUUAAACCAACCACCCACUCAACCUAGAGAACCAAUAUCAAUUUAACUGGGGACCACUAUCAUCUUAACCGCACAUCCUUUUCAUCAACGGCCGCAAAACUCAAGUACCAAGGGCUUGGUACUAUUGAUAGUAUAGUAGCAUAAUUAUAUAAUAAUAAUAUAUAUAUAUAAUAUAUAUAUAUAUAUAUAUAUAUAUAUAUAUAUAUAUAUAUAUAAAACUAGCGUGGAAUACUAUCAAUUGCACCAAACUAUUGGUGCUAUUAGUUUUGAGCUCUUGGAUUGAAAAAUAUGCGGUUAGGAUGAUGUGGCCCCCAGGGUGAGUGGGUGGUAAUUGAAUAGUAUAAUUUAACGGAUAAAAAUAAUCAAAGGGUUAAAUCUAACGGGUGAAAAACUUGAUAGCACCAAAUCCUUGGUGCUAUCGAUAGUAUUCCAGCCGGACUCUAUAUAUAUAUAUAUAUAUAUAGAGAGAGAGAGAGAGAGAGAGAGAGAGAGAGAGAGAGAGAGAGAGAGAGAGAGAGGCUACUAUGUUUCUAGCACGGAGCCUUCCGUGCUUCCAGCUUGUUUUCCAUAUUGCGACUUUCGAAUUGUCGAUUAGCUCCGUUAAAUUUGAUCUAGAGUAUUUGAAGUAUCUAGAAAAUAAAUUAUGCGAUUUUUCGAUAUUAUUUGCCUAGUGAACAAAGGGGUUCAAAAUCAACGGUUGAAAAUAAAAAUCUUACAAAACGUGAUAAUAUGACAUUAAAAAUCAGCGGCUGAAAAGAAAAAUCUUACAAAACGUGAUAAUAUGACAUUAAAAUUUUAGAUCAAAGAUAUUAAUCUUGUUUUAUAUAGUAUAAAAAAUUUUCUAUCAAAAUUUCACAUGAUUUGGAUAUUUCUAUACCGUUAAACUUGCAAAUGGCUCACUACGGCCUUUAAAAUUAUUGAUUUUGAGCCCCUUCAAUCACUAGGAAAAUGAUAUCGAAAAAUCAUAAAAUUUAUUUUCUAGGUACUUCAAAUAUUCUAGAUCAAGUUUAACGGAGCCGAUCGACGAUUUAAAAGUCGCAACAUCGAAAAUGAUGUGGAAGCAUGGAAGGCUCCGUGCUUCUAAAAGCAUAGUAG
This 84612-nucleotide long non-coding RNA is filed under the name Ananas comosus (pineapple). Its description in RNAcentral is "long non-coding RNA (ACOM_LNC021447)". The record is from RNAcentral. Lineage: Eukaryota; Viridiplantae; Streptophyta; Magnoliopsida; Poales; Bromeliaceae.